CGACGAUCGGUUAUGGAGCAUUUGGAGGCGGCAACCUUCCUAGGGUUAUAGGUUAGAGAUGAAGGAUUGAGAGAGCGGGGAUUCUGAAGGGGUGGGGUUGUCUUAGGACAGUUAUAUGGGGAGCCAAGACUAGUUCUGUAUCAUCCGAUAGAACGAAAUCAAUGAUGAAGGGGGUGAGGACGACGUCGUUAGGCUAAUCUGGAGACCUGGACCGGGUUAGGGGCUGAGUAUGGGCUGGUUGGGGCGGGUAUUAAUUGGGCUUGGGGUGGUGUUUGGCCCAAAUUUGGGUUUAAAAUUAGGACCCAAUUUCUUUGUUUUCUUUUAUUUAUUUGUUUAUUUUUUUAUUUUAUUAAGUCUAAAAUUCAUAAUUAAAUUAAUAAAACAUAGAUUAUCUUAAAAAAACUAAUUAAACUUAAACAAUUAUCAGAAUUAAUAAAUACAAAAAAACUAACUCAAAAAUCUAAAAAUAAAAAUUAAAUGGUGCAAGAUGACUUUUUUUUCAUUUUUCACUUUGUAAAAAUAGCCUAAUCACUAAUUUAUUUCAAAGAUGCAAAGUUAACUCCUAAAUGCAUAUGCAACAUAUAUUUUUUGUAUUUUCCAUUAACUAAAAAUGCACAAACAAAUACAACAAUCAACAAAUAAUGCCACGAAAAUUCACAAAAUUGCAAAUAAGUUUUGCAACUAUGAGAGUAAUUCCUAUAUGGCAAAAAUCACGUGCUCACAUGACAUACCGAGAGAUUUUAUUAACGAAUUCCAUAUGCAUUUCAUGUAUUUGUACAUACACAUUGAUCCAUGACUAUAUAGAGUUAUAUAUGAAUGUAUGUAUAUAUAUAUAUGUGUGUGUGUGUGUGUGUAUAUACAUACAUAUAUAUAUAUAUACAUAUGUAUAUAUAUAUAUCUAUAUAUAUAUAUAUAUAUGUAUGUAUAUAUAUAUGUAUAUAUAUAUAUGUAUGUAUAUAUAUANNNNNNNNNNNNNNNNNNNNNNNNNNNNNNNNNNNNNNNNNNNNNNNNNNNNNNNNNNNNNNNNNNNNNNNNNNNNNNNNNNNNNNNNNNNNNNNNNNNNNNNNNNNNNNNNNNNNNNNNNNNNNNNNNNNNNNNNNNNNNNNNNNNNNNNNNNNNNNNNNNNNNNNNNNNNNNNNNNNNNNNNNNNNNNNNNNNNNNNNNNNNNNNNNNNNNNNNNNNNNNNNNNNNNNNNNNNNNNNNNNNNNNNNNNNNNNNNNNNNNNNNNNNNNNNNNNNNNNNNNNNNNNNNNNNNNNNNNNNNNNNNNNNNNNNNNNNNNNNNNNNNNNNNNNNNNNNNNNNNNNNNNNNNUAUAUAUAUAUAUAUAUACAUACAUAUAUAUAUACAUACAUAUAUAUAUACAUACAUAUAUAUAUACAUACAUAUAUAUAUAUACAUACAUAUAUAUAUGGGAUAUGGGAACUCAUACGUAUGACACUACAAGUAUUUCAUGUUUAAAGAGAUAUCCAGACUUACAGGGUGAAUCAUUUUCUCUAUAUUUCUUCCAUAUCUUUUAUGUACUUGUUUAUGUGCCUUACAUACUCGGUACAUUAUUCUUACUGAUAUACCUUUUGCCUGGGGACACUGCAUUUCAUGCCCCCAGGUCCCGAUAGACAGGUCGAGAGUCCUCCAAAUAGGCUAUCAGCUCAGCAGAAGAUGUUGAUGCACUCUAUUUGCUUUGGAGUUUCUUGUUUAGUCAGUAUCAUUUAGACGUGUGUAUUAUUUGGUAUGGCUGAGCCCUGUCCCGACCUUUAUGUUAAAUGUGUACUCUUAGAAGCUUGUAGACAGAUGCCAUGUAUAUGAAUGCUUUUAUGGCCUUUCCGACCUAUGUUUUGAGUUUACAAAUGAUCAUGUUGGCCUUAUAGGCUUGUAUGUCACACGCAUAAGUUUUUAUAUCAAGUUGGGCCGUCCUAUAUUGAGUAUUCCCCUAUGUUUAUUCCGGUUAGCUCAUGACGCCCCCUUUGGUCCUUUUUUCCAUGAAAGUAGAAUAAGAAAGAUAUGUUAUGUUAGUACUCGGUUAAGUAAGGUACUGGGUGCUUGUUGCGGCUUAUAGGUUUGGUUCGUGAGAGAUAGCUACCUUGGUGAGAUUCAUUUCGAUGUCAUCAGAUCGAAGCCACAGGUUCUUUUUUUUACUCAAAAAAAAAUGAUCUUGCAUGGACCUUGGAAUGUCAUCAAGCACCGGAGGUAUUGAAGUGAUAUUUAUCAAGCCCACCUCUGCUCCACACUCUGAAGGCAGAAAAGAAGUAAUACUUAUACUUGGUGUGUCUGAAAUAGUAGUAAGUGGUGUACUAGUUCGAGAAGAGCAAGGUAUGCAGUUUCUUGUUUAUUACGUAAGUCGAACCUUAGGAGAUGCUAAAACUAGGUAUCUGUAGACAUGUAAUUUUUGACUCCUUUAUACAUUUUAAUAUUAAAUAAUUAGUUUAGGUCUAAUAUUGCUACUUUAAUUAAUUUUGACGCUUUUACUUUAUUUUAUCACAAAAAUAAAAAUUACAAAAAAAAUCUUUUAUUUAGCUAAUUAAUAUUUUAUCUAGUUACUUUUAAUUUAUCUAUCUUACAUAAAAUUCAAAAAUACAAAACAAAUAGCUUCACUUUGUUUUAUGAAUAUUAUUUUAAUUUUACAAUGAUUUUUCAUCUUUAUCUUUUAGUAUGAUAUUUGAAAAAUACCAAAAAUAGGUUUAUUUUAAAGGUUAUUUUAAAUUUACUAGUUAUUUUACUUAAGUAGGAUUAGUUAAUAAUUGGGUAGUAUUUUUAGUCUUGUGCAAGAGGAUAGAAUUAAUUUGGGCCCAAAUAACCCGUUUUUAAUCUCAAUUUUGGAUAGCCUAAAAUAUCCAAUCUCAUACCCACUACUCAUUUGACCUAACCUAAUUCAUAUUCCCUAGAAAAUCUCACUCUCAUGGAAAAGGGGAAGAGCCAUGGCUAAUCUCAAAAAUGAAAAAUACUCCAAAACAAAAAUGGCUUAUUCCUUUUCAAUUAGUUCCAUAAAUCCUAAUACCAAACACCACAACCACGAGUAACAAAAAGAGGUCUCUCACUUAUACCACACAUUACCUACUGUUAAACCACAGAAAUGUCAUGUUAUACUCCAAUUUACAUGGAAUUAUUUAGAGUUUUGAUUUGAUUUUUUUCCUCCUAAUAUAUCAAAAUAAAGAUGUGUUCAUGUCGAAAUUCCAUUAUGUUUUGCCACAAAUGUGCCUUGAUUUUGCGUAAGAAUCCGUUGUUGCUUUAUUUCCCCUAUUGUCAAGGUCUUUGUAGAAAUGCAAAAUUCCGAUCUGUUCUCAAUCAUAUUGUUUCGAAAUUCGCCGUUUCCUCUUCGUUGAGCUCUAUUGUGACUUCCAGCAACGCGAUUCUCCUUUUCUCCUUCACCUUCUAUUUUGUUUUUUGAAAAUUCGGCAACCCUCCAUUAAUCCGGCAAAACAGAGUUCAAACCUAACAGUAAACCUAGCUCCAAAAACUCCCUGAACCACCCCAAAUCAGUGUGAAAAUCAACGCGAAAUCGUCGAACUCAUUCGAUUUGAAUCGUUCGAGAUUCCGUUAUUGGAUCGAGGCUCAGGUCGUUAGCUCAUUUUGGUUUGCUGCGUCGAAGACUUUCUUUCAUUAUAUACGUUGAAUAAUAUGCAGCAAAAAAGGUCCACCUCUUUUCCAUAUCUAUUACUCCUUUUUAUCUUAUACAUAUGUGAUGUUUGGAUUAGUGUGAUUUGGUAAAUAUUUUGAUGUUUAGCCACCAUGUGGAGUUUAGUUGUUUGAAUUGAAUGGAUGGUCUGUUAUUAUUUGGGCAGAAUUUCAUUGAUUAACAAAAGCAACAACAUAUUCUUCAUUUUGUUGGAUUUUUCUUUACUCAGAACUUAACACAUUAGAAAGUUAAAUUGAUAUUUCAAUGUCAUAUAAACUGUUUACAAUUUAACUUGUGCUAAAAUUUGUUAAUCUUGGUUUAUAUUAAAAAGGGAUUCGACUACGGGUUGUAAGUGAAUUUUGGCAUGCUGUGUGCUUUGAGAUGGGGUUGGAAAUAAUUUUGUUGUUCUCUAUUCUUACUCUUAUUAAUUGGGCAAUUAGGAGCAUGAUUAUGUCGGCCACGCGUGGGUAGGGAAACUUUUAGGUGCGCAAUAAAUCAUUGUGACUACGGGUACGGCUCCCGUGACGUGGUUGUGAUGCAUAAAUUUCAAAUUAAGGGGUACAUUUAUUUGACCAGGCGAAAAAUUCUAGUUUUUCGUUAAUAAAUUGAACAUGUUGUAGAUCGUGGGUACGGUUACCGUGACACGAUUCACAAUGUGUACCAAACAAAUAAGUAUAUGACAAUCGUAAUUUGUUAAAAGCGAUUAAAAAGAAUAAAAUGCACAUAGGUUCUAAAUAUGUAUUAAUCAGAUAAUUAAGUCAAUUAUUAAUAGUCGAGCGACCGUGUUAAAAUCAUGGAAGCCGAGAAUGCCUAACACCUUCUCUCGGGUUAACAUAAUUUCUUAUCCAGUUUUUUGUAUUUUGCGGACCAUAAUUAAGAGUCAAACUUCCUCGAUUCGGGAUUUUAAAUCAGUAACUUGGGACAUCAUAAAUUAUUCAAAGUGUCGACUGUGAUUUUGGAUAAAUAAUCCUGUUUCAAUCAUUCUCACUUUAAUUAGAAAAAACUCUCUUAUAUUCUUUUUCGGUCAAAAAAGGGUGUGACAGCUCUGUCGACUCUGCUGGGGACAGAACCCAUAACUUCUGAUUUGGGGGUCAAGAAUUCAAGCUUAGAAUAACUGUUAUAUUUUAAUUUAUUAUCUAAUUUUUACGUGUUUGAGCCCGAUGUGCCAAUUGUCCCUUUUUACCAUUUUGAUAUUUUGUGAAUUGUGUAUAAACUGUUAUGAAACCUUCUUCUCUCUGAGUCUUCUAAAUCUUCUUAGAAGUGCACGCUUGUGUGGCUUCUUUUCUAUUUGUACAAUAUCCUUAAUUUAAAACAAAGUUCGAGCAAGUUGCAAAUCCCAAUGAUCUUUUGGUUAUCGGUACGCUGCCCCUCAUCGACUCGAGUUGUCUGCUCGGGUAAGCUAGGUCUAGAACAAUAUACCAUGUUUUAAACCUAGAAUAACAUAGUCUCCGGAUCCCUAAUAGGAACGCUUGUUUGAAUCACGUGCAUUUGACGUUAGGGAUUCAACAUCGGGGUUGGGUCCGUCUAGGGCAGGUGUAUCCUAAUUAAAGACUAUCCUGAUGCAUCUUACAUGCUACUUGAUAGUUUGUCUAUUUCAGCUUGAACGUUGACUGGCUUCUAGAAUAUGGAAAUAAAAUUUUAAAAAAAAGGAAAAGAAAAAAAAAGAAAAAGAAAAGAGAGUGAGUGGUAAGUAUUUGAAUUAUCCCGAAACUCUGCCAAGAUUUUGAAAAAGAAGAAGAGGAAAAGUCAAUAAUGACCCCACUAGUCGUUUUGCUUUUUAGAACCCCGUCCCACUAAAGAAUACUUCUCGUGCUUGCCUUAUCUGAUAUAUGACCUGUGGGGAUAGUUGGUUCCGGAUUUGGAAGAGUUUGGGUUGAAAUAGAAUCACUUGAUUCCUUUAGAUUUUCUUGAAAGGAUAAGUUUGACUUUAGUCAUUGUUUUUAGCAAACAGAUCCCGAUAUAUUUUUGACGGUCUCAGAGGAUUCGUAGGAAAAUAUAGGACCAGGGCAUAUGCUCGGAAUCGAAUUCCGAUGUCCCUACCCUGAGUAAUGAUUUUUAUUAGAAAUUAUUAAACUGAAGUUUUUAGGAUUUAAAGAAAUUAAUUAAUGAUUGAUCAUGUUAGUAUUGGGACCGUAUGUUUGUUAUGGUUCCUGGUACAGGUCCUUUAUAACAUUUAAGACUUGCCCGCAAAAGUUGGUGUCAAUCCUAGUAGUAUAAGUAUGUUUUGGCAUGUUAGAAGUGAAUUGAAGAACUUGAAGUUCAUAAGUUUGAUUCAAUUGGUAUUAGGGGUGAUUUUUAGAUCUAGCUUUGUUUCUGGCAUUCCGAAGGUUGAGUGGCUCCGUGUCAUGAUUUCAAACUUGUCGGUAUGUUUGGGUACGUCCUGAAAUCCCGGAGCGUCAAUCGAAUGAGGCUCGAGUAAAGUUGGAAAAUUUGAGAAGAGUUGAAGCUUCAGGUUACUGCCAUAACUGCACAUGCGGUUGGUCAGCCAUAGGUGCGAGACCGCAGAAGCGGUCAUCCUCUCGUUAAUGCAGCCAAGCGAAAGUCGCUAAAGUGGCUCCUUAGCCGUAGAAGUAGUCACAUCUCCUUUGGCCAAAUCUGCAGAUACGCCCUUCCUCUCGCACAAGCGGGACCGCAAAUGAAUCCCCCUAAGCGUAGAGGCAGAAACUACUAAAGUUGAGAGCUUCGUUUAAUACGGGUUCUAUGCCAUUUUGGCCAUUUUUCACUCACCCCUUGGUUGAUUUUGAACCUCUUAAGAGAAGACUUUCACCUAGCAUCUUGAGGUAAGUUUAUCCGACCUAUUUCUAGUUUAAUUCGUGAUUCUUGGGUAAAUUAACACACAAAUAUUAUGGUAAAAUCAUGGGGAUAGAGCAAAACUUAGGGUUUCGAUAAAAUAUAGAUUUAACCAUGAAAUAUGUUAGGAAAUGAAUUGGAAAUCAUAUAUUAUUUAUCCUUAGGUUAUAAAGAACAAGUCCCUUCAAAAAAUUUCAGAAUCCGGGAACGUGGCCCAGGGUCGAAUUUUAGGAAGCUUGUGUUUAAGGUUGGAAAAUUGCUUUAAUAGUUACAACGUGAUCCAGUGAGCAUAUAUUGACUAGUUCCUACCUCAUUUAAUUAGUUUUGGAUCGGUCAACUCCAAAUUGAGGGUUGAGCACGUUCUUGGUGUUAGAAGUACCCUUUGGAGCGAGGUAAGUCUCCUUUAUAACCUUGUGAGAGGGAAUUGCCCCCAUAGGUGUAAUAAUUGAAUAAAUUGUCACUAAAUGCGGGGGCUACAUAUGCACUAGGUGAUGAGAGUCCGUGCAUAGCUACUGCUAUGUUAAUUGUCAAGGUAGUUUAGGAUCUGCAUCAUGUCAUACUUGCGAAUGUCUAUAUAUUUUCUUGCUAAUGUGAUCGUCUAAGAUAUGAUAGCGAAUUGGGAAGGAAAAUAAGUGAACGUAUGUACUUGUUGAACACUUGUAUGAAUUUAUUUGAAUAUAAAUACACCUUCAUGUAUUUUCCUGUUGAUAAUUGAUAUUUGUGGAUCGGGCCGAUCGCCUCGGUAGAAAUAGAUGCAUCUAUGACUCACGUCAUUCGACCCUCUGGCAGUGCACACUUUUUUUUUCUGUUGGAUCGGUCUGUCGACCUCGGCAUAGUAUGCGCAGGAUAUUUUUGUGAAUUGUUUUUGAUGACUUACUUGGUAAAUGUUAUGAAAUGCAAAUGGAUAACAUUGAUAUCAUCAAGGAAAUAACAUUGGUAAUCCUUAUUACAAUUGUUAUAUAUUUGUGACCUUCAUGCUUAACAUUGCACCAUAUUAUAUUAUUUGACCUAGUAAAUAUCAAGUCGACGUCUCGUCUCUACUUCUUCAAGAUUAAACGGGAUACUUAUUGGGUACAUAUUGUUUAUGUACGCAUACUAUUCUUCUAUACUUAAUUGUGUCACACCCCCUUUUUGGUUAUCCACAACCUGGCGAAGGGCAUAGAUAAAGGGAGUUUUUCCAAUUAAAGGAUAAUCGAAACGGGAUUUAAUUAUUUAAAAGAAUUUCAAAGUCGCCACUUGGGAGAUUAAUGGUGUCCCAAGUCACCGUAUAGAAUCCCGAAUCGAGGAAAGGAUGACUCUGUUUAACAGUCCGCGAACCAGAAAUUCAGGUAAGGAAUUCUGUUAACCUGGGAGAAAGUGUUAGGCAUUCCCAGGUUCUGUGGUUCUAGUAGGUCGCUCAAUUGUUAUAUUUGGCUAAGAUUAUCUGAUUUUAUACAAUUAUGAACCUAUGUGAAUUUUGAAUCUUUUAACCACUUUUUAAAUUAUUUUUAAAGAGAAUUGCAGCAUCGUUAAAAUAUGCCUCGAACUACGUCACAUAAAUGCACCCGUGGAUUUUGACAUAUUUCAACUUCGUUGAGAGUUGGAUUUGGGUCACAUAAAUGUGCACCCAUGUUUAAGGUUAUAAAAUUAUUAACGACGUGCCUAAAAGCGACUAACGUGUCAUUAUAUUUAUGGGAGGGCCAUGAAAUUCGCUAAACGGCGCAUCCCGAAUUCGCUAAAUAUUUUAUUAAGCAUUUUACGAGGACCAUGCGGGUUAUGGGUUUCGUGUAGCAUGACACACCUCGUUCUUAUUAUAAAAGGCCAAUCCUAAAUUGAGCUACUACCGUUUCUUAUCAAAUUCAUACAUUAUUCAAAAGAUCACGAUUCCUGAAAUAGUCUAUUAUGCAGUUUCUAAUUUUGUUUGACUAUACUUCAAAACAUGGGCCUAACUAGAAGCCCAAGACCUCAUUCUUCCCAAGAAAAGACUACAUGGGCUUACAGUAGGUGACAAUGACCCAAAUGAACUGUUAAGCCUAUACGAGACCUGUUGGGCUCAUAGAUAAGCCCAAACUUCAAUUCAAGGUUUUCUAGAAAAACAAAAUACAAGUGACUGGUUUUGACCCUAACAUUUAAACUCUGAAGUUCACCUAAGCUAAUUACGAUAACCAUAGAACUACAAGUAGCGUAAAUGAAAAUCCGUUUGAAAUGCAUAAUCAUGGGAGUUCAUUUUUAAAAGUAAACACAUAAAAACCAAUUUCAACUAGAAAACUAAGUGUAUGGUUAUAUACAGUCCGUUCAAGUCAGAAUAAUAUUCAAAAUAUACCAUAGGCAUCCAGUACAAAUCAUUAUGCGAAAAAUAAAACCACAGUCAUUCUUAUUCCUUCCUGGAUCUAGACAUCUGAGUCCUCAAUUCAUAAGCACACAUUUAAUUCAUAAACAUCAAAUGGUAGGUUUAUUGGACUUUGGCCAUUAUGAAUGAAUAAAAUACCUAGAAAUGAGAUCAACAGAUGAAGACUAAGGGUUCGCACUGAGCAACAGAGCAAUCAGCAAGCAAAUGAAUAGCCGUACAACAAGGAAACUAAUCUAAAGCCUAAAUUUUAACCCAAGACCAAAUUUUAACCACAACAAAUUUCAAGUGACCCCAAAUGACCUGCAAUCAAACCCGGGGACUCCAGGAAACAAUUAAAAACCAAGCAAACGAUGCAAGUCCUAGAACUAAACCUAACUAGACCCUGAAAACAACUGGCUUUCCAAUGUAACAGUGUAUUUUUAAAUUCCUCUCGAUUUGUAAGGCUCUAAUACCUAGGUUUUGAAGGAAAUGGCUCUUAAAUGUUAAAACUAAACUAACAUUUUUGACUCUUGCUUUGAAUUGGGUCAUAAUUUGCAGAAAUUGGAGGAUUUUCUUUUGACUAUUGCUAGGAAUGUUUCUUGGAUUUUCAGACUGUCUAACCUCUUUUUUUGAAUGAUUUGGGGUCAUUUUUAUAGCCAAAGGCUAAGGAACCCUUUAUUUUGUUUUUCAACUAAAGGUCCCCCUUUCAAUUUCCAAAGUUUACCUACUUGGACCCUUAUUUUUUGACUUGUUUCUCAAGUUACUGCAAUAAAACUACUGAUUUUAGAUGAAAGACCCAUUCUAGAAGGGUCUAAAGGCUUCUAGCAUUGUCUUCCAUUUAUAGGCUACCUAUAUUACCUUUAUUUUGUCCCUAACCAAAGCCAGGUUAACAACUCUAUAUUACCCUACUUUAUUAUGAAAAUUACCAAAACUAAACUAAAAUUCUAUAUUACCCGUAUUUUAUGCUAAAAUUAUCAGAACUAGGUUGAAAACCAUAUAUUACCCUUUUGAUGCUAAAAUUACUGUUUUGCUAUCUUGUAACUAAUUACUAAACUACAAACAGCUAUAGUCAAUCCUGAUGCUAUUGAGCUAUUAAUCAAGAACAAUUGCCAUCAAUUCUCAUAAAUCAAAAUACAAUUGAAUCAAAAUCAAGUCCAAUACUCAAAAUUAAAAGAAGAACAUGGAAGGCUACAACUAUCAAAACUCACACUCAGAAAUCAAUACUCCAAACCAUAUGAACCAUUAAUCAACACUCAAACUCAGAAAUCAGGAAAUUAUUGAAAUCAAAGAACAAACAUGGAGGUUGUUAUGUUGGAUUAAUAAUUAAAAGCAAACCGAACAAUCAUGACUACUUCCUAAUUGCAUGUGAACUAUUAACCAACACUGUAAACUCAGAAAUCAACACUCCAAACCAUAUGCACCAUUAAUCGAAACUCAAAAAUCAAGAAAUUAUUGAAAUUAAAGAACAAACAUGGAGGCUGUUAUGCUAGAUUAGUAACUAAAAGCAAACUAAAUAAUCAUAAACUUCCUAGUUGCAUGUGAACUAUUAAACAAUACUCAAACUCAAAAGUCAAGAACACUACAGAAAUUAAAGAAAACAUGCUAGACUUCAAAAUUAAACCUAAAAGUAUAUAUUGCAAGACAAAUCAGAAACUACUAAUUUAAAACUCACAAUAGACAUGUUCUAGAUUCCUAGGACUAAUAAUUAAGUCAUGGGGUCAUUCACACAGUCACCAAAAUAGAAAUAGCAAAAGGAAAGGCAAACUUACCGAUCUUUCUUCAGUUAAACUUAGUUGAAUGCAAUUUAAGCCUCCAAGCAGAGUCGCAGGUUUGUUUUUUUGGCCAAAACAAACGUGUGGCUCCAUUUCGAAACUCAAAUGGUCUUCCAAAGGUCAAUCUCAGAGCUAAGUCAUGGCUGGUUUCAAAAUUGGAGGGGUCUGGGGUUAUUAAAAAAGGCAUGGGUGUGUCUUUGGGUAGAGUAGGGCUAGAUGAGUGGGUGGUUGUGAUUUGGAGGCCAUAGGAGCCGGGUCACCAUCGUGCAUGGCGGAGCUGCCCACUUCUAAUGAACAUUCGAAGGGCUAGGGUUAUGUUCAAAGGUGACUGAUUGUAGGGUUAGAAAGAGGGAAGCGAGGGGAGUGUAGGGUGUAACUUUGGGAGCCGUUGGCCACUAGGCACCGCCGUGGACGGCGGAGCUGCUAGGUUUUGAAUGGAUAUUCGACAAGUUGGGGUGGGUUUCGAAGGGCGAUCUUAUGAGGGUUGGGAAGCGGAGACGACGGUGAUUCCGGGGUGUAAUUUGGGAGGUCAUUGGAGUUAUGCCGCCGCCGCCGGCGAUUUCCAGGCAGCAGCGGACGGUGGUGGUACGGUGGAUUGGCGGCAGCGUUACACUGGUGUGUAGUUGGUACGAGGAGGGUAGGGAUUCUCUCUAGGGCAGUGAAUAUAUUCAGAUAAUCUUAUUAGUGUGUGAGGUUCAAGCUGAGCCGUUGGAUCCAAGGGCAUGGACGAUUGAGAUUAGCGGACAUCAAACGAUUUUAUUUUGGCCUUCCUGUUAUUGGACUGGGCAGGAACCAUUGAGUUUGGGUCUAUUUGAUGGGCCUGGUAGUGUUGGGCUCCAAAGAUGUAGCCCAAAUAUGGUCUUAUACAAGACCCAAGUUAGACAAUAAUUUGUUCUCUUUUUUUAUUGUAUUUUUCCAUAUAUAUAUAUAUAUAUAUAUAUAUAUAUAUAUAUAUAUAUAUAUAGAGUAAACAUAAACCAAAAUAUAUUUAAAUUCUGCAAAAUAAACAAAAUAAAACCUCUUAAAAUAACCCAAAUUCUAAAAUUCAAAAGAAAAUUAAAAAAAUGUAGGUGUAACCGAUUUUAUUAUUUUCAUCAUUGUCAAUAUUAACUAAUCAUGAUAAAAUUAAAUCCUAAAGGCAACUGUUCCAUUUUAUAUUUUUCAUGAAUUAUGCAAAUAAAAACAUGCAAUAUGCAAUUAAGCACAUGCAAUUAGCUCCUAAAAUUCAAACAAACGCAAAAUCACACAAAUAAAUACAAAAUCACACAAUUAAUUCCUAAAAAUACAAAUAAUAAAAGAAAAAUCCUAAUUUAAUGAGUUAUAUAGGAAUAUGUCACACAUGGCAAAACUCACGUGCUCACAGCUGCCCAUCUUUGCUUGGAGACACGAAGGGUUUCAGGGCAAACUCCUUGUGGCUUCGUUGACUGCUUGCCUUUUCUUUCUUCAUGUUUGAUUCCAAAUUAUUGGACUUGACAUGUAUUCCCUUGUUUUGCAGGUGGGUGCUUGAUUACAAAACUUGAAACUUGAAAGCAUUCCCUCGUUCUGCAGGUGGGCGCCUGAUCGCCUAGACUUGACUUUUGAAAAAUAGUCCCUUGUUUUCCAGGUGGGCGCCUGAUUGCCAAAGCCUAAUAUUUGAAAAAAUAUUCCCUCGUUCUAGAGGUGGGCGCCUGAUUACCAAAGCCUGCAAUUUGAAAAAAAUAUUGAAAAAUAUUCCCUUGUUCUACAAGUGGGCACAUGAUUACCCAAAACAUGAAAUUUUGAAAAAUGUUCCCUUAUUCUACAGGUGGGCGUCUGAUUACCAAGACUUGAAUUUUGAAAAGAUAUUGAAAAAUAUUCUUUGUUCUACAAGUGGGUACCUAAUUACCAAAACUUGAAGUUUGAAUAAUAUUACAUUCUUCUAACAGAUAGGUGCCUGAUUGUCAAAUUUGAUAUUUUGAAUAGUUUUCCCUUGUUCUAUAGGUGGGCGCCUGAUUACCAAAUCUUGAAAUUUUAAAAGAUAUUCUCUUGUUCUUCAGGUGGGCGCGUCAUUGCCAAAACUUGAAAUUUUGAAAAGUAUUCCCUUGUUCUGCAGGUGGACGCUUGAUUACCAAAACUUGAAAUUUUGAAACAUAUUCCCUUAUUUUUCAGGUGGGGGCCCGAUUACCAAAACUUGAAAUUUAAAAAAUAUUCCCUUGUUCUCCAGGUGGGUGCCUGAUUACUAAAACUUGAAAAUUUGAAAAAUAUUCCCUUGUUCUAACAGGUGGGCGCCGGAUUGCCAAAACUUGUAAUUUUUAAUAGUUUUCCCUUGUUCUACAGGUAGGCGUCUGAUUACCAAAACUUGAAUGUUUAAAACAUAUUCCCUUGUUCUUCAGGUGGACGCCUGAUUGCCAAAACUUGAAAUUUUAAAACGUAUUCCCUUUUUCUACAGGUGGGGCGCCUGAUUACCAAAGCUUCAAAUUUUGAAACAUAUUCCCUUGUUCUUAAGGUGGGCGCCCGAUUGCCAAGAAAUGAAAUCUGAAAAAUAUUCCUUGUUCUAAAAGUGGGCGCCUCAUUACUAAUACUUGAAACUUUGAAAAAUAUUCCCUAAGGCUACUUCCUGUGUUCCUAAUCACAACAAAAUAAAGAAAAACACAAACAUUCUUCCUGCCUCAUUUUGAUGCUAGGCGGAUCUGUAAGUGUUAAUCAAAUCCCUUUGUCAAAUAUCUCUAAACCUAAGCUAAGUCCCAUUAUCCAGGACGAUCCUGAAAAUUCGUAAUUGACGACAACUUUAAGACUAUGUGAUGUUUCUCAAAAAGGUAUUAUUUUCCACUAUGUCUUGUUACGAGUUAUACCUGAUGGCGGAUCUGCUGGCGACUGGUGAUUAAAACUGCUUCCCAUUAUUCAGGCGGGUCCUGACAACUCUGAAUAUGGCAAGAUGCGACUGCUAAGGGUUUGUAUCUAGAGCUACGUCCCAUUAUCCAGGAGGUCCUGACAACUCUUGUUGACCCUUGCUGGGGAAAUAUCUAAUAUAAGUCUCAUUUUUCAAGAGGGUCCUGAUGACUCUUAUUGACUCUUAUUGGGGAAAUAUCUAAUCUAAGUCUCAUUUUUCAGGAGGGUCCUAAUGACUCUUGUUGACUCUUGUUGGGGAAAUACUUGAGUUUUACCAUGCCAUCAGACUGUUUGUGUUUUUAGCCAAGUCCCCCUUUCCAGGAGGGUCCUCAAGGUUCCGCCUUAAAUGCUAAUUUUAACUUCUGGUUAUUUCUGCUAGUGAUUAUUGUCCAGGAGGGUUUCUGUGACUCUUACUAGGGAAGGAGUUGGUUCUUCCCCAUGUUACCCGCACCUGUUUGAGUUUUAAACUGCGUUCCAUCUCAAAUUCUAUGCUUUUUUUAACCCUCGGUUGUUUCUAUUAGGGUUUGUUAGUUAAAGUUUUUCCCCUUAUGCACUUUGCUGGGGAGGGUGUUUAUGACGGACUAUGCCCCUUUUGAGUUUUAACUGAGUUAUACUUCUAGGUGGACCUUGAGAUUUUGAUCAUACCUGACAUGUAUACAUGCCUUCUCAUAUGGAUGGCCUCCCUUAGGCUUUUCCGAAAUUUUCUGCCCCUAUGUCAAUCAAAGAAAACUUGUCCGUUUGAAAAAUGUUGAUUGUCUCGCGACAUUCUUGUUGAAAACGGCCUCCCCGUUGUCGUGUUCCCUUGUGUUCCAUUGCCCAAAUUGAAGAUGAGUUGCUCGAACUGCUCAGCUGACCCCUUGAGGCCUCUAGACUUUAUUUUCCCUCCACCUCAUCAUUGUGUUACAUUACUAAUCCCUUCCCAUAAUUCUUUGUCCUUUCCCGAUGAUUGAUGAGUUGAUGUAUCAUGCUUUGGUGAACCCGCCGAACCUUACAGCUUCACUUUGUUCUUUGUCUUUGUGUUACCUUUCCAUUCCUUUACCAUAAUCCGUGCCCCCUUUCUUGAAAUCACCCAGUCUGUCUAUGAUGUUUGGUUGGCCUUUGCCUUUUGUGCCUUUAUGUCGCUCCCUACUUUGUGUUGCACUUCCGACCCUUUACCAGAAUUUCUUUAUCCCUUUCCCGACGAAUGACGAGUUGAUAUAUCAUGCUGGGUCAGCUCUCAUAGCCAUUUCCACCUUUGUGUUGCACCUUUGCCUCUUUUGUUAGAAGUCUUAUACCCUUCUCGGACGAUUGUUGAGUUAGGAUGUUAUGCUUGGCUGAUCCUCUGACCCUUGUGGCUUUGUAUUAUUUCUCAUCUUGGUGUUACAUUUCCGAGCCUUCGCCAAAAAAUCCUUACCCCCUUCCCUGAGAUUACCCGGUCCAUUUGUGAUGCUUGGCCGACUCUUGAUCUUUAUGCCCUCACUUCGCUCCCCACCUUGUGUUGCACUCUUGAUCCUUUGCCGGAAUUCUUUAUGUCUUUCCCUGAUGACUGAUGUAUUAUUAUUGGUCAAACCUUGCGACCUUGCGACCUUUCCCAUCUUCGUGUUGUGCUAACUUUGCGUCCCUUCUGAGGUAGCCUGAUCGGUGUAUGAUGCUCGGCUUACCCCGGAACCUUUGUGGUUUUACUUUGCAUGCCCCUUUCUAUAUGGUACUCCUUCACUUUGCCGACUCUUGUCUCUUCCAUCAAUUGCAAAUUUGUGAAUCCUUCCCUUUGCUGUUCCACACUUGUUAUCUUUGUUACAUAUUUGGGCGUCAUGCACUUUGUCCUUUUGGGAAUUGAUAAUCGUCUUUGAAAUUUCUCCCGUUUGCUUAAACAAAAAGCUUUAUAGACUCAAAAGAAAGAUGAAACGCAACGACUCCGAAUGGUAUUUAGGUUAAAGAAUUCAAAACUCGCUGAAUAUUGAAAAGAAGAGAAAGAGAACUUAUCUGAAGAACAACUGGUUUUCACGAUCAUGACAUGCACUUCGGCCUAGUCGACCCGGUCUACUUCGAUGAUCGACCUUCUGUUGCCACGCUUUUGUUGUUGUGACCCUUCUGGCCCAAUUCCUUCAACCAAACCCUAGCUUAGCCUACCUGACAGUGUUCAUCCACUGACAGGCCCUUUCUGAGUUUUGCUUUUUACCUUCGCCUCACAGUGCCCAUGAGUAUUUUCACCCAUGAGACUCUCUCAUUUUACUUUUCUCAACUCGCAUCGCCUUAUGGCGCCCAUGAGGGUUUUCACCAAUAAGACUCUCUCAUUUUAUUUCUCUUUCUUACUUGGAUCGGAGUGCUUCCCCUGGCGUGAAUCACCUCUACUUGCUCAACUUGGCAUCUCUUGAAAACUGAUAAGUAGUUCUUCCUUUGGACCGUAACGUGUGCUUUUGGAUAGGGUUAGAAAGAAAGGGCAUCAAAGGCUCAAAACAAUUUAAAAGGGUUCAAAAUUACAACUUUCAGAAUGAAAUUCUUGCAACCACAACUUCUGUCCCUGUUUCUUGAUUGGGGACUUUUGGAUUUUUAUUUUGAUGACACCGAACCGUGAGGCUGCCUACAUAUCCUUUUAAAAGGAAUGAGGUCAUAUGUAGUUCAUGCCGAUUCGUUGUUUUUUUGGUUGUAUUUCUUCUCCUCUUUUUUGUUGUUUUUUUUGUUUUUCUUUUCUUCCUUUUUAUUUUCUUUAUUUUCUUUUCCUUUUCUCUUUUCUCUUUUCCUUUUAUUCUUUUCAUUAUUUCCUUUCCUUUCCUUUUGUUGUCUUCUCAAACUUGCGCUUCUGACUUUUGUUACUGAUUUCGAAAGAGGGUUAUGAAAGAAAAUAACUAAAACUCAAAGAGGUCAACAAAGCAUAGAGUAUUUAGAUAGCAGAAUAAAAUGCUUUCGUCAUUCCAAUUUUAAAAAUAUGCCAAGUACAAACAAAUGUCGAGAAUAGACAAUGAUCUAAAGAAAAUCAUACAUAAUAUCUUUUGACAACAUCCGAAUUGAUAUCCAUUUCCGCACAUUUCCCUUCCACAUCCGUCAGGUAGAACGCUCCAUUGGACAACACUCUUGAUAUGAUGAAUGGUCCUUACCAAUUUGGAGCAAACUUGCCUUUCGCCUCGGCCUGGUGGGGGUGGAUGUGCUUUAGCACCAGUUGACCUACUUCGAACUUUCUGGGGUGCACUUUCUUAAUAUAUGCCCCCAUCCGAAUUGGUAGCCAUUUCCACAUAUUUCCCUUCCACAUCCGUCUGAUGCGAUGCUCCAUUGGACAACAUUCUUGAUAAGAUGAAUUGCCCUUGCCAGUUUGGAGCGAACGUGCCCUUUGCCUCGGCCUGGUGAGGGGGAAUGCGCUUUAAUACCAAUUGACCUACUUCGAACUUUCUGGGGUGCACUUUCUUAUUAUAUGCCCUAGCCAUUCUUUGUUGAUACAACUAGACGUGACAGAUUGCCGCCAAUUUUUUCUCGUCAAUGAGACUCAAUUGUUCCAAACGAGCUUUGACACAUUCUUCGUCGUCGAUUCCUGCUUUGGCAUCGAUUCGAAGAGAGGGAUUUAAAUCUCAGCCGGGAUUACUGCCUCUGUGCCAUACACCAACAAGUACGGAGUGGCCCCAACUAAAGUGCGGAUAGUGGUGAGAUAGCCUAACAAUGCAAAAGGCAUCUUCUCAUGCCACUUCCUAGACCUUUCUACCAUUUUACAAAGUAUCUUCUUUAUGUACUUAUUGGCCGCCUCAACGGCUAUGUUUGCUUUGGGGCGGUAUGGAGUAGAAUUUCGAUGCAUGAUCAUAAAUUGCUGACAUACUUCCCUCCUUAAGUGACUGUUGAGGUUUGCCCCAUUAUCUGUGAUAAGUUUCUUGGGGAUUCCAAAGCGACAAUUGAUGUUUGUAUGCACAAAGACAACCACUGCUUUCUUGAUCACCACCUUUAAGGUUUUGGCUUCAACUCAUUUGGUGAAAUAAUCAAUAGCAACCAGAUAAAUCUGUGUCCGUUAGAAGCUGCUGGCUCAAUGGGCCCAAUGGCGUCCAUGCCCCAAGCAACGAAAGGACAUGGUGCCGACAUCGUAAGCAAUUCAGACGGUGGAGAACUAAUUAGUUCUCCAUGCACCUGACACUGGUGGCAUUUGCGCACAAAGCUGAUACAGUCCCGCUCCAUGGUAAGCCAAUAAUAUCCUGCCCGGAGAAUCUUCUUUGUCAAAACAUAUCCGCUCAUGUGUGGCCCGCAGACACGAGCAUGCACCUCAUUCAUGAUAGUUGUCGCCUGCCUGGCAUCGAAGAAUCUUCUUUGCCAAAACAUAUCCGCACAUGUGUGGCCCACAAACGCCAGCGUGUACCUCAUUCAUGGUAGCUGUUUCCUGCCCAGCAUCUACGCAUCUUAGUAAACAAAGAUCUGGCGUUCUUUUGUAUAGUAUUACUCUACUGAAGAAAAACACACUUGACAAAUGACACAUUGUUCUCUUCUGGUCACUCGUGGCUUGCAUCGGGUACACACCUCUCCUGAUAUAUUCCUGGAUAUCGUGGAACCAAGGCUCGCCGUCAAUCUCUUCUUCCACCAUAUUGCAUUAAGCAUGCUUAUCAUAGACUCGGAUAUGUAUCGGCUCAACAUAAGCCUUGUGCGAAUGAUGUACCCUUGACGCCAAAGUAGCCAGGGCAUUGGCGACCUCUUUGUGAAUUCUGGGGAUGUGACAAAACUCUAUUGAUCGGAAUCGUUGGCAUAGAUCAUGCAAGCAUUGUUGGCAUGGUAUGAUUUUUAAAUUUCUAGUUUCCCACUCCCCUUGAAUCUGGUGUACCAGAAGGUCCGAGUCUCCCAAAACCAUGACUUCCUAGACACCCAUGUUCACUUCCAUUUUCAGACCCAAAAUGCAUGCCUCAUACUAUGCCAUGUUGUUGGUACAAUAGAAGCAGAGUUGAGCUAUGACUGGGUAAUGAUGACCUUCUUCAUAAAUGAGCAUGAUCCUAUCCCAAAGCCUUUCAUGUUGGCAGCCCCAUCAAAGAAUAAUUUCUAUCCCGACUUCUCAUCCUGUUCCGCUUCAUUGAUAUGCAUCACUUUCUCGUCCGGGAAAUAUGUGUACAAGGGCUCAUAUUCUUCAUCCAAAGGAUUCUCAGCUAAAUGGUCCCCCAAUGCUUGUGCUUUCAUGGCAGUCCUAGUCACAAAGAUAAUGUCAAACUCAGUGAGCAAGAUUUGCCAUUUCGUGACCCUUCUUGUGGGCAUGGGCUUCUGGAAAAUGUAUAUUAAUAGGUCCAGUCAUUGAGAUGAGAUAAGUGGUAUAUGAUGAUAAGUAAUUCUUUAACUUUUGGGCUAUCCACGUUAAGGCGCAACAUGUCCUUUCAAGAUGAGUAUACUUAACCUCGUAAGUUGUACAUUUCUCGCCGAGGUAGUAUAUGGCCUGCUCUUUCCUUCCGGUAACAUCAUGCUGACCCAACAUGCACCCAAAUGAGUUUUCCAAGACUGUCAAAUAUACGAUCAAAGGCCUACCUGGUUCCGGCGGGACCAAUACUGAUUGGUUUGACAAAUAUUCUUUUAUCUUAUCAAAAGACUCUUGACACUCUCUCGUCUAUUAUACCGCAACAUCCUUUUUCAAUAGCUUAAAGAUGGGCUAGAAAAUGGUUGUGAGCUGAGCAAUGAACCGACUGAUGUAAUUCUAUCUUCCUAGUAGACUCAUAACUUAUGUUUUAUUCCUUAGUGGUGGAAGCUCCUGUAUAGCUUUGAUUUUUGAUGGACCUAGUUCGAUGCCUUGAUGUUUGACUAUGAACCCUAAUAACUUUCCCGAUGGGACCCCAAGUGCACAUUUUGCUGGGUUGAGUUUGAGGUCAUACUUGCGGAGCCUUCGGAAGAAUUUCCUCAAGUCUUUGACAUGAUUGGAUUGUUGUCUGGACUUGAUUAUCACAUCAUCCACAUAGACCUCUAUUUCUUUAUGCAUCAUAACGUGAAAAAUGGUUGUCAUGGCCCCCAUGUAUGUUGCCCCGGUAUUUUUCAAACCAAAGGCAUGAAUCUAUAACAAUAUGUCCCCCACGUUGUGAUGAACGUUGUUUUCUACGCAUCUUCUUCAUCCAUUAAGACCUGGUGGUAUCCUGCGUAGCAAUCCAAGAAUGACCCAAUCUCAUGCUUUGCACAAUUGUUAAUCAAUAUGUGUAUGUUCAACGGGGGGAUGUUUUCUUUUGGACUCGCUUUGUUGAGGUCACGGUAAUCAACACACACCCUGGUUUUACCGUCCUUCUUGGGCACAGGCACAACUUUAGCUAACCAGGUGGGGCAUCGUGUGACUCGGAUGACUUUUGCCUCAAAUUGCUUGGUUACUUCCUCUAUAAUUUUCACACUCACAUCAGUUUUGAACUUUCUCAACUUUUUCUUGACAGGCAGACAUGCUGGGUCAAUGGGUAACUUGUGGAUCACUAAGUCAGUGCUCAAUACGGACAUGUCGUCGUAGAGCCAUGCAAAGACAUUUUUGUACUCAAGCAACACUUCAAUUAUUUCUUCCCUAAGCUAUGGCUCCAGAUGGACACUUAAUUUUGUCUCUCAGCCAUUAUCUGGACUUCCUAAAUUGACUGCCUCUGUAUCAUUCAGGUUUGGUUUGGGUUUCUCUUCGAAUUGGGUCAACUCUUUACUAAUCUCAUCCCACGCCCCUUCCUCAUCGUACCCCGGUUCGUCCUCAUGUUCAAUUUCCUGAAUUAUUUUUCUGAACUGGACCUAUUUUGACGACUGGGCCGAGGAGUCCUUAUGCAUGUCAGAUCACUUGAACCAACAUAAAAAUAACAUUACAAAAGAGAAAAGAAAUAAAAGUAAAGAGAAAUGGAAACUAUCGGCAUUGCUGAAAGGGAAAUUGCAUUUCAUUAGAAUAAAAAAUAACAGAGUUUACACAUCCAAACAGACAAAAAUAACAACUGAAUUAACAACUAUGAUGCUAAUCCAAACUAGACUGAAAGGAAAAUCAAGGCCGAGUACCACGACUCCCUCCGAGUGAGAAGAGCAGUGGCUUCCCAGUUAUUGAUUUUUGUGCAUGCUCCCACAAAAUGCACAUCCUCUAUGCUUAGUCAUUCUCCUGCCUCGACCAUAUUCACCUCAUUGAAUAGUCUUUCAAACCCCUUAUCAAGAUCUUCGUCCGCAUUGAUCAGCGGGCUGGAAAUCUUUGGUCCGGGGCCAUUAAUAGUGUUGGGCUUAACAAAUGAUCUGGACAACCUUGGGAUGGGAUUUGGGAGAACCCUAUCCUUCUGCCUUAGCUUCCUGGCUCGCCUUAUGUCUGUGACUGUAGGCUUGAACCCUAGGCCGAAAGUGUCCAGAUUUUUAGGUUGGGACACUGGUUGCACAAUACCUUGUAGAGAAGCAUCCAACCCGUUGCCGGGCAUAAAACCAUUCUUCAACAUUUCUGAAGCUACCAUGACGGAUGUGGUUGCUAUUUUAGGGUCGUGCAACCUCACCUUCUAGGGUUUUAUGAACUGACACAGUAUCGAACACCUGAUAGACCCACGGCCCUUUGCUGUCCUCAGAUUGAAUAAAAUGUACGAUUCUAUCACCUGGAAUGCACUAAUUGUCUUCAGCGUGUACCAUAAUGCCUGUCCCAUUCAAAUUUGACCAUCUGAUGCAGCGUAGAUGGCAGUGCUUUGGCUGCAUGAAUCUAGGGCCUACCAAACAAUAGGUUAUAAGAGACUACUACGUCCAGCACUUGGAAUUCCAUAGUGAACUCAACGGUCCCUAUUGUCACUUACAGCACUAUAUCUCCUACAGUGUCUUUGCCUCCGCCAUCAAGACCUCGAACACAGAUGUUAUUCAUGCGGACCCUUUCAUUUUCAACCUUCAGCUUGGUCAAUGUGGACAGUGGAAAAAUAUUUGCACUGGACCCGUUGUCGAGUAAAACUCGGGUAACCACAACAUCUUCACAUUUCACAAUCAGAUAAAGAGCACGGUUGUGCUCAGUGCCCUCCAUAGGCAAUUCAUCGUCAGAAAAUGUGACCCGGUUUACUCGAAUAUCUUGUUCACAAUCUUUUCCAAAUGAUUCCCUGUUAUGUUUUCUGGGACAUGGGCUUCAUUCAAAAUCUUCAUAAAUGCCCGGCGGUGUUAAUCUGAGUGGAUUAGUAAGGAUAACAAAUAAAUCUGAGCUGGUGUUUUCCUCAACUGCUCUAUGAUCGAGUAGUCCUACAUUUUCAUUUUCUUCAAGAAUUCUUCCGCCUCUUCUUCUGACACAACUUUCUUCACUAGUUAUGGGUUAUCUUUAGAGAUUCUGCCCUUCAUCAAUUCUUCCAGGGCAAGGUACCUUCCUGACCGAGUUAAACCGUGUGCCUCACAAAAUUCCUCCCUAACUUCUUUUCCCUUGUACAUCACUAUUGCUUACUCAUAUCUCCAAGGAACGACUUUGCUGUUGAUGAAUUGUGGCUAGAUAACUGGUUUUACAAUAACUAGCACUAUGCAAACACCUUCCACAACUACGACAGGUUCUCCAAUUGUCCAUGUACAUUUACUUUUGCUUGUUCCUGCUUUGGCGUAACCGCGCAUGCUGAGCUCCCCUGAACUAUUACAGGCUUGCUGCCUUUUUAUUUUGCCCCGGUUACUAGCUUCUCCGUUCUUGCACUCUCAGUUGGCUUAAAAUCACUGGCUUUGAUCAUCAUUACCGUUUGUGAGGUCCUUUUGGAUUCUCCCUUUCUUUACAUAAUCUCAAUCAUGUUGGUUUUCUGAUAGACCAGCAGCGGGUAUUGGUUAAUAUUUAGCGGCUCCGGCUUCUGCACCUCAAUUUGGUGGGAGUCAAUAAGUUCCUGGAUAGCAUUUUUUAAAUGCCAACACUUUUUGGUGUCAUGCUCAGGUGCACCGGAACACUAUUCAGUGCUGAAUGAAUAAUCUAAAUUCUUCAAGGGAGGAUUUGGCAGUUUCAGUUCAAUUGGUCUCAACAUAUUGUUGUCGCACCUUGUGGAAUAAGCUAGUGUAGGAUUCUCUCAGCGGAGUGAAAGUCUUCUUUUUCUGUACCCUUUCAUUUCUCAGGACCGGAUUGGCUCGAAAGCGGGGUUCGGGGGUUGUUGCUAAGCUCUUGGAGGUGGGUGAUGAUUUUGUGGAGUUGGGUAGGUUUUUUGUGGGGGUAUCGCACGCCAUUGUGUGUGAGCGGGAGGUUGGGUAUGCUUGGCCGUGGUGGACUGAGAAGCGAGGUUCUGGUGGCGGAUAGUAAUGUAGUGGUGUGCCGUAUGGCGACUGUGGGUAUGUUUGGGGGUGAGGACAGGGUUAGGCGUAAUGAGAUGGCGGCCGAGGUCUGAACCGAGUUCUCGACUCCACUUUCACUACUUCUUCUUUCUUCUUCUUUUCAAAGGUCCCCCAGCUCCACCUUGGAUGGCUUGAGUAGAUGCCUUAAUUGUAGAGUAGCUCAUGAUUUUAUUAAUUUUGAGGCCUUCCUCGACCAUACUUCCCAUAUUGACCACUUCGUUGAAAGACUUUCCCACUGCUGACACCAAAUGUCCAAAAUAGGUAGGUUCCCUCUUGCUUCUUCUUUCCGAAGGUUCCCCAGCUCCACCCUGGAUGGCCUGAGUAGUUGCCUUAAUUGCAGCGUAGCACAUGAUUUUAUUGGAUUUGAGGCCUUCCUCGACCAUACUUCCCAUCUUGACCACUUCAUUGAAAGACUUCGCCACUGCUGACAACAAAUGUCCAAAAUAGAUAGGUUCCAAAGCCCGUAGAAAAUAAUGAACCAUCUCACUCUCCUUCAUGGGAGGAUCAACUCUAGCAGCUUGUUCCCUCCACCGGAAACCGUACUCCCUGAAACUCUCUUUGUGUUUCUUCUCCAGCUUUGUCCGAGAUAGACGAUCCGGGAUAAUCUUGAGAUUAUAUUGAAAGUGGCAUGCAAAUGCUUGUGCCAGGUCAUCCCAAGUAUACUACCGAUUGUGAUCCUGCCGAGUAUACCGCUCCGGCCGAAACUCUCAGUGUGUUUCUUCUCCAGCUUUGUCCGAGAUAAACGAUCCGGGAUAAUAUCGAGAUUAUAUUGAAAGUGGCAUGCAUAUGCUUGUGCCAGGUAAUCCCAAGUAUACCACCGAUUGUGAUCCUGCCGAGUAUACCACUCCAGCGCCAACCCACUUAAACUCUAGCUAAAGUACGCCAUUAGCAAUUCAUCUUUUCCCCAUGCUCCCCUCAUUUUGCUUCAAAACCCCCUUAGACGUGCGACCAGAUCUCCAUGACCAUCAUAUAUGUCAAAUUUAGGCAUCUUGAAACUUGGAGGAAACUGCACGUCUAUGAAUCGACAAAGAUCCUUGAAUGCCAUGCUUACCUGGCCACCUAAUCCCCGCAAGUCCCUGAAUGAUUGUUCGAGACUCUGAACCUUUCUAAGCACCUCUUCCUUAUAAGGAGUUUUGAUUAGUUUUUCAACUCCCGCCGAGAUUUCGGUACAGGGAGCAUAAGGAUAAGGCUCAUGGGUCUUGUAAGCAGGUUCUGGUGGAUAGUAUUGCGGGUCAUAAGCUUGAAGCGUGGGUUCACUUGAUGACCUAUGAAUUGCAGGAGGUGGGGGUGCCACAUAGAUAGGGGAAAUUGGCGGAGGAGGGUGAGGAGUGACUUUGCGUAGUGGAGCUGGUGGUGGUUGAGAGGUCGUACCCUGAUGUUGUGAAUAGAUAAGAAAACUUGAAGGCGGAUCAGUGGCAGAUUGGUUAGGUUCUUGGGCCAGUGGUGGGAUAAAGUUUGGAUUAGUAGGAUAGCUCGGGGUGGUUGUCCUCUUGCCCAUGCCCGGUACAUCUCAACCAUUUUGUUAUUUAGCUUAUACAUUUCCUCCUUCAGAGCAUUAACGUCCAAUUCCUCAACUUCCAUUAAGGAGCCAAUAAUGCUGACGUCGGCUUCCUGAUUGGCCAUGACUUGCUUGCUUUUAUACCGCGUGUUGUAGGAGUGGGUUGUUAGAAUGCCGCGAGUACUAAUUACCUAUCUAGUUAGAAAUUGGAGUUAUACGAAUCACCUGUCUAGUUUGAAAUUGGAACAACACCAAAAACUCGUUAAUGGUUAGGUUCUGACACAUAAGCGGCCACACAUUGGGUAUAAAUGCACCUAAAUAACAUUCGGUCAAUACAUGCAUCGGUUGCCUACAUCAUCCCAACUUUCAUUUCUUUAUUUGCGAAGCCCUAUAGUUUAAGCUUUAUUCUCUCCCUCUUUCUUAUUACAUUCACUUUCUCUCUUGUUUUAUUCAAUUGUGGUCGAAUCCUAUGUAGAUUGCCUACGUAUCAAGACCCCGCAUGAAUCAGACCGAGCGUAAUUCUUGCAAGUAAAAAGCAAAGCAUAAAAAUAUUUUGGGAGUUUCCAUCCUCAUAAUAACAAACUUCGGUUACAAGGACUCCAAAGACUGACAAAUUAAAGAAGAAACUAACAAGCUUGUAUAAAAAGCGAACUAUAGACUCGAAAAACAACUAACUAUGCAUAACAGAAAGUAUAGAUUGUCUGUUAAAUUGAUAGCCUUUUAAAUAUAUUUUGAAAAAAGGACGGGUGAUCCUUAUGAAUACAUUAUUGCUUCAGGUGCUCUUGGUCCUCGCAGGGAAUCAUUUGUCCUAGUCGCAGGCUUGCGUGCUAAACUCACUUGGAGGUGUUGGAGGUCUUCCAUCACUUGCCGAACAAAGGUCAUGGCGGUGGCAAAGAACAUGGAUCUUGUCAUAUCCCCGUAAUGGUUGCACUUUUUGGUGAUGUAGUCUGCGAUCGCCCGUAGACUUUCCCUAAUAACACCCUUUUCUUGCAACAAACUCCCAAUUUGCUUAGCCCUUGCCACUAGAGUUCGCUCGGUUACAUGAUUCAGUUCCUGGAAUUGCCGCAAAUCCAUCUACAACCUUGUUAUCGCUGCAUAACAAUGUUUUCUCUCGACUUUGAAGUCCCCGACUUACUUGGCCACUCCGCUCUCAGCCAUGAUGGCCCUCCAUUUUAACCCAGCAACCUCAUCAUCAUGCUUCUGCUUUAAUUGUUCAAUGAUGUGGGCUCGUUUCUCUGCACUCUUAGCUAAUUGUUUCCGAUCCCUGGAUAGCUUGCCUUCUGCCUUAUUCAAGUCAAAUCCAUACUUGGUUAUUUUUUGCCUCAAAUAGUCUAUGAGUUUUUCAUCCUUCGUGCUCCUGAGGGGAUUUUCUCCGGCUUCUUUCAUUUUCUGGAUUUGGGCUCGCAAUGCCUCAUUUUCUUUGGUUAAUCUUUUCUUUUCUCCCUCAUCUGUUGCGGCUUGCAAACCAUUCUCAAAUUGCAACUCUUUGACUUGUUUUUCUAAUCUUCCUAUGGUGGCCCUGUACUUAUUUUCCUUGGAUAGCCAAUCCCAUUGCUCUUUUGACGUCUCAACAAAUUCUUGGAGAUGGUGUCUUUUAGAUGGCCUUCCGGGCUCUAUUUCUUUUUUAUACCAAGCAAUUUAUCCCGGUGCAACCUUGCCUGUAGAUAUGUCGUAUACUCGGGUGCCCGCUGUCAAGUAUUGACAUUCGCUCCAGAUUUGACGCACGACGGCUUCAGGGAAUUGACCAUUGGGGAUAAUCUCAACUGCAUGGGGGCUAAUAUCCUCGUCCCUAGGAAUCACUUGGCAUCUACCUAAUUUCCUUAUUACUCUGUAUGGUGCAUAGGGUUGGAUACUUCGGAGACCCAUCAGAAGGAAAUGAGGCCCGGUGGCUGGCAUAUACACAAUUUCAUCCACGGGGAGCCACUAGAAUGUCCACUCUAUCUAAUUUGCAGUGACAACUCGGAGAUGCAACACCCAUUCUAUGACGCCCUCAGGUAACCUAAACCCAUCAACCAUGUUCAAGAAUUCUUGUAUGCAGCUCUUUGAUGGUGGCCCAUAAUCCAUGAACCGAGGCCGGUGGCAUAAAUGCUCAAUCAUCCAUAUUUGUAACAAUAGGUUACAUCCAUCACAAAAGUCUCCUCCCGCUUUACAGGCGGAGAGAGCACGGAAGAUCUCGGAUAAGAUCAUAGGAGCGAGGGUGCUCUUGGCCUAAGUUAUUAAAGUGCUGCAACCCCUACUAUUUGUAUAUCAAUAUCCAUCCUUUCGCGGAAACACCAAAAGAUAAUACCAUAGAUGCAAAACAUCGAUGCUCCUCUCAUUUGAGUUGGUUUCCUUUGCUACAAACAUAGUUUUAUGGGUUAUUUAAUCCCCCUAUAUGCCCAUACCUAUGAUAUAUAAACUGCGGAGUACGAAAGCCGAAUGACAUGUCCGGAUUGUGAACCUUCCUACUAAUUUUUAAGGAGUCUAGGAACUUUUGCACGACGAGGGCUCUUGGCGUAAUUAGGUAAUUGUGUCUCAAGGGAAUCGUAGGGGUCCCAAUAUGUCCAGUUACUACCUCCAAUGUCGGUGUGAGUUCAAAAUACGAGAAACUGAAUACAUUGAUAGUCGAGUCCUAGAAUGUGAUCAAUAACUUUAUGAUAUGUCCCCUUGGGUUAAUUUUCAAAAACCCAGUAAGUCCUCCCAAUUGCAUGUUGACCCUGUUUUGCCUUGCUUCCCCCAAGUCAUUCCACCACAUGUGUAGCUCCAAGAAAAUUUUGUUCAUGAAUGUUAUCGGCAAAUACUGAUCGGUGUUCAUUCUGCACAUUUAUUAGGUUGUAUUAGUAAUAUUUUGUUCUAUUUGACUCCACAAAACAUUAAAACUGACAUUUUUCUUUUAUAAAAUUUAUUUUCUAAAAUCUGGGCCCAGCUUUGUGAAUACGGCCUUUUAGCACUUCUUAAGGAAGAUUUAAAGGUUGUGCUCGCUGGCCAGCCGAAAUAAGACUCAGAGGUGGCCAUUUGUGCAAAGUCAGCCUUCCAGCGUCCCUUUUGGUAACAUUCGGCUAUUCUUAGCAGUAACGACAUCACCCGAUUAUUUGGGAAAAUAAAAUAAUUGGGCAUUUUUUCCUUGUUUUGGUUAUUUUGAAAAAAGGGGGUUUGACCCGAUGGGGGUUGCGUACGUAUCUUGUACCUGAAAAGAAUCAAACUAGCGUAGUUCACACAAAACAAUUUAUCAAAACCAAAACUUUAUUGAAAAUCUCCCUUUUUCUUUUGUUAUUUUUUUUCUUUUCGAAAACCCAGCACCAUUUCGCCGCUAUUUGAGCAUUCGUUUUACUAGACAAAUGAUUAAUCUUUGGCAACCCUAAGACUACUUAUUUUCUCAAUUUUCUUUCCUUGUACGCAAGCCAGUCAACAUGCAAAUCCCAAGCAGCUACAUGCACAAAUAACACAUAAUAUGCAUCAGGAUGGUCUUCGCAUUUCGGGUCACCUGUCCCAAACUAACCCAACACCUGUGUUGGGUCCCCUAAGUCAAAUACAAUAUGCAAAUAAGCGUUCCUACUAGGGAGCCGACAUGAGGUCAAGUUAUUUUAUGUUCAAAACAUGAGUAUGUGUUCUAGACAGUGUACCCGAGCGGACAACCCUAGUCGAGGAUGAGGCUAUGUACCGGGAACCAAAAGGCUAUCUGGCUUUGUAACUUGUCCAAACUCUUUCUUAUUUCGGGGUAUGACACUAACAGAAUAAGGAGUCUCAACCAGUAAGCACAUCCCCGAAGGUGAGAAGAGAAGGGUUUCGUAACAGUUAAUAUGUACAGUUUAGAUAAUAUCAAAGUGGUAAAAGUAUCAUUUUGCAUAUUAAGCCAACAUAUAGAACCAAAUAAUAAAAAAAUCCAAAUACAACAAAUAUUAUAAGCUCGAAUUCUUGAACCCUGAACCAGAGAUUCUUAGUACGAUCCCCAGCAAAGGCGCUAGAGCUGUCACACCUCCUUUUUGGCUAUCCAUAACCCCGCGAAGGGCGUAGAUAAAGGAAGUUUUUCCAACUAAUGGACAAUCGAAAUUGGAUUCAAUAAUUUAAGGGAAUUUUAGAGUCACCACUUGAGAGAUUAAUGGUCUCCCAAGUCACCGUAUAGGAUCCCGAACCAUGGAAAUAAUGACCACCUAUAAUGGAAAUUGGGUCGUGACAAAGUCAUUUCAAAAUAAGUCAUGUUUUCUUGUUGCGUCAAAACUGGCAGAACAACGCGAGUCUAAUUCUCACGAAAUGUGAGAUACAUUAGCAAAACCUCAUCGGUUCCGGCCCACAAUUGUUUUAAAAAUCAAAAAUAUUUUCUGUUACUUGCUUCAUUAGAAAGGCUUUCUUUUAGACAUUAAUUUUUUUAAAAAAUAUUAUCUUUUAAUUUCUUCUCAAAAUCCAAAAAUAUAUUCAGUCUUCCUUAUAAAUUUUAAAAGAAAAUUCAAUAUUAAAAAAUAUUUUUUUUCUUUAGAAGCAUUUCUUUCAUAAAUUCAAAAUAAAAUUCCUAAAAAUUCAAAAAUGUUUUCUUUUUUUUCAUAAGAAGUUUUUCUUUUGAAAUUCCAAAAAAAGUAAAAAUUCUAAAAAAAAAAAUAUUUCCUUUCUUCUUUAGAAGUCUUUCUCUCCAAAAAAAAAACAAAUCGAAAUUAAAAAAUAUCUUGUUUCUUCUUUUUAAGUCUUUCUUCCGAAAAAAGUCCAAAAUCUAAAAAAAAAAGUUAGUUUAUUUACUUUAUUUUAAUCUUCCCGAACUUCACAAAGAUCAAAUUCAUGCAGCAUCAUGAUACAUAGGCAACUCACAUCAAGUUCCAUCAUUUAUUAAAAAUGAAAAAAUAAAAAUGAAAAAAAAGAAAAAAAAUGAUGAUAAUAAGGACCGACUGAGUCCAUUCUAACAUGUCUUUUGUUUUGAAUUGUGAAGAAAGAUUGAGGUGGUUGGUUUGCGGUAAGCUGUCAACACAAAAUACAAGGAAAAAAAUACAACUCACAUCGAAGUCGUUGCAACCAAUAAUGAGAAUCAGGGUCAGAGGGUUCAAGAAGUGUCUACUAUAGUUAAGGAAAAUAGAGUACUGAAACAAAAAAAAUGACUGAAAUGUGUCAAGCAUGGGCCAAUGGCCAAGGACCGCCCUUAUCUAUUUCUGGUAUCCUAGAGUUCACACCCAUCUCAACUACUACUACUCAGGUCUCAUUGUCUGAUCAAUCGUAUCCACCAGGGUUCUGUCUUUAUCCCAACUGUACAACUACAGCUGGAUCUUCAGUUGUAUGCUCCCAAAGUGUGCCAUUGACAACCAAUCAGACAACCAGUGUUGUUAUGCCCAUCUCCUCUAUCCCACAACUAAGGGUGGUGCAUAGGAAAACUCAUGAGUCACAAUUUGCUACCCAGCAAGAGCAAUACCACUCUCUUGAGUAUCACUCCUACCUAUUUGAUCUUCAUGCAAAUAAUAGGAAGCCUUUCCAAAUGAUGGCACAAGAAGAAAUGACCCAACGAGUGAAAAGCUCAGAACAACAGUUGAAAAACAUACAAGGUUGGCAGGUCAAAAGAGUAUUGCCUUCAAGGAUCUAUGUAUGUUCACCGAUGUUUGUUUUCAACUUCGUUUUAAGACUCCCAAAUAUGAAAGGUGUGAUGCACAUGGAGACCUCAUAGCCCACCUAAAAAGGUAUUGCAAUCAGCCAAGAGGUGAAGGAAGAAAUGAAUAAUUGCUCAUAGCUUAUUUUGGGGAAAGCCUUACAAGAGUAGCCUCUGAAUGGGAUAUGGAUCAAAACACUUCUCACUAGCAUGUCUUGGAUGACAUGGCCCAUGCCUUUGUCAAACAAUUCCAAUAUAACAUUGAAUUUCCCCAGAAUGUAAUUACGUUUUCACACUUGAAGAAGAAACAAACUAAAGGUUUGAUGGAAUAUGCCAUUAAAUGGAGAGAGCAAGCGGCUAGAGUUAAUCACCGUAUUCCUUCAGGCGCAAGAGCAAGAUUACUUUCAAAACAUGAUCUCCACAAUUGGAAAAUCCUUCACAGAGCAAUCAAAAUGGGAGAAAUGGUAUAGAUUGUCCCUAAGACAAGUAGAAUAAUAAGUCAAGCAGCUCCCAAAGCUGCAACUCGGUCUAUCCAAAUUAAAUCUCGUUAUUUUAAUGGCACGAAUAAGAAGGCUGAAGAAGUCAUGAUGACAUUGGGGUUGAAAAGAGGUCCUUGGGGAACAUCUCGAAGGUAUGAGCAGCCUAAUCAGGUGUCCCAUGACUCCCUUGAGCAUUACUAUCUACCUCAUAACACACAAUACUUUGUUGCUCCAACUCAGUAUGUUGGCCAGCCACCAAUACACCCAAAAGGCGAGCACGAGCACCGUAAAAUCCUCUCCAGCCUCCACAAAAUUUUUGAGUGACCUAUAACCCACAUCCAAUCUAGGGGUAUAGAGCAGAAUAAAGUUUGAAUUAUAAUUUUACACCAAUAGGAGGGUAGUAUGCAAAAUUUUUUGAGAAAUUAAAGCAUUAUGACAUGAUUGCACAUAUUCCUCCAAAUCAUGUGGACCUACGUGCAAGAAGCUUUGUGUCACGACCCCUGUUCGCCCUCCGUGAACAUAUCGUGACAGCACCUAGUACCUAUAACUAGGUAGUCCUAACGAUGCGGAAAAAUAAAUAAUUUACGUAAAUUAUAACUCAAACCAAUUUAACAAAAUGUAAAGCGGAAUAUAAAAUACGACUUGGUACAUACAACACAACAGCUCAACUACUACAGUACUAUCUUAAAACCCAGAAAAUCACGAGAAUAUAAGCUAAUAGAAGGUAAUACACUGCUCUAAUUCCAGAAUGUCUAAAACAACAGUACGAAAGGGGAACUAACCGCUAAAGCUAGAAUAAGAUAGAGACUCCUGGUCAGCGAAUAUGGCAAAUAUAACUUGAAGUCUUUGCUAAAGCUCUCCGUCUCAAGGGUAAUACGCUAGGAUGGAGGUACCUAGAUCUGCACAUGAAAAAACAUGGGUAGAAGGGGCGUGAGUAUACCACAGUAGUACUCAGUAAGUGCCAAGAACCUAUGUCGGGUAGUGACGAGGAAGGUCAGGGCGAUAAACAGGAAUAAUGAGUACAGCUAUGAAGUAAGAAAGGUUAUACAAGGCAAGAAAUAACACACAGAAAAAAAAGGUAACAUGGAGUAAACAGCUCAAUACCAGUACCAACAACGAGGAUCUUCCAGGAUACCAUCCUGUAGUCCAUUCCCUCAACUGUCCAAGGAUCUCCUGGGAUACUGCCCUGUAGUCCAUCAUAUGUGUAUAUUUGAAGGAUCUCCUGGGAUACCAUCCUGUAGUCCAACUAUCAAUGCAAGGAGAUCUACCGAAAUUCAAUCUUUAGUCCCAAAGUAAAUAUGCAGGGUGGAUCUACCGGGAAUCUAACCCGUAGUCCCUAAGUAAAUAUGAAGGGGGUCUACUGGGAAUCUAACGCAUAGUCAAAAAGUGAACAAACAAGGGGGAAGCUACUGGAAUCCCACAUCCCUAGUCCUGGUGCAAAAACGCAGUCACAACAAGAAGGUAUACAGGAAUAGAGUGCAAAAGAAAUACCAAGCAACAAGUAGUUCUAGCCUAACAUGCCUCACGUAGUACAAUCAAGAAACUUAAGAAAAUAAUCAAUUUAGGUUAACUAAGCAUGCUUUUCUAAACCAACACAUGCUGUAAUAUCAAGUAGAAUAAGACAGGUGUGAGCACAUGAUUUUCUCCCAAGGUGAAUUACUCCCACAGUUUCAAAACAAAAUAAAUAUCUUUUCAUUAUUCACAAUUUUGUGAAUUUUUGUGGUAUUUGUUGUUAAUUGUUGCAUUUGUUUGCGCAUUUUUAUUUUUGGAAAAUACAAAAUUUAUGUUGCGUAUGCAUUUAGGAUUCAAUUUUGCAUUUUUGAAUUAAUUAGUAAGCAGCCUUUUUUUUACAAAAUUGAAAAAUAACAAAAAUAGUCAUCUUGCAACUUUUAAUUUUAAUUUUUGGAUUUUUGAGUUAGUCUUUUUAGUAUUUUUAAUUGUGGUUAUUGUUUACAUUUAAUUAGUAUAUUUGAUAAGAUAAUUUGGGUUUUAUUAAUUUAAUUCAGAAACUUAGGUUUAAUAAGGAAAAAAAAGAAACAAAGAAAUUGUUUAUUUAAGCUUUAAACCCAAAGUUGGGCAAAAACAAUUAAAAUUGCCAAGCCCAAACACCAAGUACCCUACCAGGCCUGCCCCAAUUCUCCCUAACACAUCCAAAUAUCAAUGCCCCAACCUGAUCUGCCUCCAGUUAAUGCCAAAUGACACUAUUUCGUUACCCCCAUAUCCCCAACUGUUGAUCUCAUUCGAUCCAACGGAUCAGAACUCAACCCCUCCCCAGUAUUUACCUGUCCAAACCCAUCCCCCCUGCCCUACCCCAUCUCUCUUCUCUCUCACCUCACCAGAAGACAUCUCCAUUGCCGCUGCCUGCAAUUGCCGGAAAUUGCCUACAGCGGUUGCGAGUCUCCAAACCACCCCAAAUCUUUACCACAACUUCUUCUCCGCCUCCACAUUCUCAAUCCACAACUCAUUUCCCUCAAAACUUGCCCAAAUCCAUCAAAUUUCGAUUUGAAACCCUAGACCCUAGCGCCGCCACAAUUUCUCCGGUGGCGGCUCCGCUUCUGUUUGACUCCAAGACAAAACAAGGUGACCACCAAGCCCUACCUACCCCAAAUCUCAUGUUGUUUUCCCUCGAAUAACCCAGAAAGUCCUCAAAUCUUAAAUCUGGUCUAUAUUCAAAAUUCUCCAAUUAAAGUGUUAGUCAAGAUUUCGAGUUCACUUUGAGAUUAUUCGCGUGUUUUUUAUAAUAAAGAACAAAGUGAAGCAAUAUUUUAAGGUUCAAGGGCUCGAAGAGUGAUGCAAGCUUAUGUCUGUCCAGUUUUCUUUAGGUAUUUUGAAUUUAUUUUCAUUCUUCUUGCAUUUAUUUAUUCCUUUCAAUUAAGAUGAUUUCAUGUUUUUGUUUUCUUCUAUUUUGCUCUUAUUCCUCUGCUUUAGUUACUUUAUCCGAGUUUUAUUCGCAUGUCUUCCAAUCAUAGGUUAACUAUUGUUCCUUAGUUUAGUUAGACUUGGUUAAUUAAGGUUUGAGUCGAUUUGUUAACUUUUACUUUAAUUUUAAUAACAUAGUUUUGGCUCAUAAAUCGUCUCAUCGAAUAAUUUUUAUUUUAAAAUCAUGAGAUUCUGGAUUUGUUUCCUUUUUUUUUUGCUAAAAAAUCACCAAAAUGGACUUUCAACUUGGGUCAUUGUGUUUAAUGGGCUUUGAGGCCACACUUGACCCACUUGAAGAAGCCCUAGGUCAAAUUUGACCCAUAGGAGGUCUCCUGGUGUAAAUGCCAAAGGUUUAAAGGGUAGUUUGGGUAUCUCGACUUGAAGAAUCUUCAUAUCUAUUUAAAGAAGUCCCCGGAAGCUUCUAGCAGGGGCUGGUUUUAAUUUUGACACUAUGACAUGGCUAACAAGUCACAAAAUCAGGGACUAUAGGGCAAAAACAAAAUAUGAAGUUGCCCUACUUCCCUUGCCUAUAUAGGCAUCCUAUUCUUGCACUGCAAGGGGAAAGAAAAAAAGAUAGAAAAUUAGAAAAAUCAAUGUGGCUAAACAUUUUCUAAAAAACAUUGUUCCAUUGCUCUUGCUUUGGUGAUUUCUUAGAGUUUAUCUAAUUUCGAAACAUUUUUAGUUCAUUAUAGGUUUAGAAAAAAUUGAUUGAAUCUGGCUUUAAGGUUUGGUUUUGAAGUUUCUGGGUUGCAUUCAAGUGAAACUAUUCUGGUAGACUGAUUUAGCAUUGUUUUAGGUUUAAAAAUUGGUUUAUUGGGUCAUUUACUGCUUUUGAUCUCUGCUUGUUGCUGCUGCUAACUCUUAAUCCAUGAUUCUCUCAAUCUGGGUACACAUCUCAGAAAUUGAACAAUGUGAAUCUGCAAAUUGGAAGUCGAAAUGAAAUAAAAUGUGUUGGUUUUCAGUAUCAAAUCGUUGGUCCACAAUUAGAUUUUAGUUUGUUUCUUUUCCUUUUGAAUCAUGUUGUUCUUCGAAAGCAAUGUGUAUUUACGUUAGGAUUUGGCCAUGUUCUAUUCGAGUAGUAGUAGUGGUCAUAAUAUAGCCUACUCGAUAUUCAUUCAUCUUGCUUUCUUUUCUUUAAGGAUUGGACUUGAAUAAUGUUAAUAUGAAUGAUUCAAAGUUAUCUUUGAAUCUUUAAUCAUGUGCUAGGUAAGGAUUUCUCAGUUGCUGUAGUAUAUAUUUGGAUUUAGUAUGCAAAAUGGGAAAGUAUCUUGUUUGAGAUGGGAUUUGAUUUAUCGAUUUCAGGGAGCGUUUUAGCUUAUGAUGUCCAUGUUGAUACAAGAUUUUUUUUUAAUAUGUUCAAAAGGCUGUAGAUGUGACUAUAUAUUUAAAAUCAAAUUUGAAAGCCAGUUGAGUUUUAUACUAAACUCUUUGUAUGUGUAAGAUCAAUCAAUUAUGAAUAUAAUUUUAAGUGUUGCAUAUCACAUUUUGCACUAAUGGAUGAUUGUACAAGCCCGUUAAUUGGUGAUAAUAACUGUGCUUGAAGCACUGAUUGGAUUGAGUAUAUGUCUACCUUAUAGUUCGAUUCUGAGUCCUACGCCUGCAGCAUAUGUUAGUUAAUAUUUGGGCUCCUUUUGGGCCUGAAUAUCAAGCUUGUUUCAAUUCGGGAGGAAGCCCAUUACCUUUGGGAUUCCUUGAUUCUAAAUAGAGACCUUGAUGACCAGUUGAUGAUGGACCCAAUUCCAGUUGAAAUAGUCAUAAUCUCUUUUGACAUUAUUUCAGCUAACAUAUCUUCAUCGGUGGUGAGCCACAUUGAAUAGUGAAAAAUAUUUUAUGGCCGUCAUGGAUUAGUUUAGAAACCUUUAAAUUAGGAUUGAGGCACGCCAUUCCAAACAAAAUAUUUAAAUGCUCGGUCCUCAUUUAAUUAACGUGUUUAAUACUUAGAACUCGAGGUGUGCCAUUUAGCAAAUUCCAUGGCCCUAGCAAAAUUUAAUGGAAAACGUGUGAUUGCUCUAGGUGCGUCAGUUAAUAAUUUACCUUCCUAAAUUUGGGUGCGCAUUUAUGUGACCCAAAUCUAAAUCCCAAUGUAAGAUAAAACGUGUUGCGGGCUACGGGUGCAUUUAUGUGACGUGGUUCAGAAACAUAUUUUAAAUAACGUUGCAAUCUUCCUUUUAAAUUGAAUAAAAGCAGUUAAAGUCUAAAAAUUGCACAUAGGUUCAAAAUGUAUUAAAAUCAGAUAAUUAAGCCGAAUUUAAUAGUUGAGCGACUGCUCUAGAACCACGGAACUCGAGAAUGCCUAACACCUUCUCCCGAGUUAAUAUAAUUCCUUAUCCGGGUUUCUAAUUCGCAGACUGUAUUAAAGAGUCAACAUUUAUCUCGACUCAGGAUUUAAAUCGGUGGCUUGGGACACCAUUAAUUAUCCCAAGUGCCAACUCUAAAAUAUUUAAAUAAGUAAAUCCCAUUUCGAUUGUCCUUUAAUUGGAAAAACUACCUUAUCUAUGCCCUUCGCGGGGUGUAGUGUAAAAAGGAGGUGCGACAGCUCUGGCGACUCUGCUUGGGUUCGAACCAGGAAUCCUUGGUUCUUGGUUCAAGAAUUCUAGAUCAAAAUAAUUGUUGUAUUUGGAUUUGUUUAAUAUCUAAUUUUAUGAUUUUCCCAAUGUGCUAAGUGUUGCUUUUUACCUCUUUGAUAUUAUUUGAUCUAUAUAUAAAUUGUUGCAAAACCUUUCUAUUCUCAUCUUCGGGGAUGUGCUCGUUGGUCGAGACUCUCUAUUCUGUUAGUGUCAUACCUUGGAAUAAGAAAGAGGCUCGGACAAGUUACUAAGCCGGACGGCCUUUUGGUUCCCGGUACGUAUCCCCCUCCUCGACUCGAGCCGAAAAAAUUAACCUCACGCUGUAUCCCUUGUAGGAAUGCUUAUUUGCAUCAUGCAUUUAACUUAGGGGACUCAACAUAGAGGUUGGGUCCAUUUAGGACAGGUGUACCCAAAAAAAUAGACCAUCCUGAUGCAUCUUGUGUGCUAAUGGUCCAUUUAUUCCGGAUUUGCAUGCUGACCAGCUCUUAAAAAAGAGGAGAAUUUGGCAAAGAUAAUAACAGUGUGAGGGAUGAGGGAGGUAAUUACCUGUUUCAGAAACCAAUAUUGAAAUUCUGCCGAAAUUUUGAAAACUGAAAAGAAAAGGAUCUUGUUAUUGUUUGCAAAAUAAAAGGGGAAAAAGAAAAGAAAAGCUGGUUUUUAAUUUUGUCAAAAUUGCCCGAACUACGCCGGUUUGAUACUCACAGGGCGUGAGAUACGUUGGCAACCCCAUAUCGGACCAAACUCAUUUUUGCUAAAACGGCUUCAAAAGAACAAAAUUUUGUUCGUGAUAAAUAAAUAAGGCAAUCAUCGUCAAAAAUAGCCGAAUGUCCCCAAAAGGGCACUUGAAAGCUGCUUUUGGAAAAACAAUUGUGAGCACGUGAUUUUUGCCUCACUUGAAAUGUUAAAUUCAUUAAACUAGGAUUUUUCUUUUGUUAUUUGAAUUUUUUGGAAUUAAUUAUGUCAUUUUGUGUUUAUUCGUAUUUUUUCUUUUACUACGUGAAUUAUUAGGAAUUAAUUGCGUGAUUUUGUGUUUAUUUUCAUUUUUCUUUCAUUAUUCGAAUUUUUAGGGGAUAAUUGUGUGAUUUCGUAUUUAUUUGCCUUUUCCUUUAUUAAUUGUGUGAUUUUGUGUUUAUUUACGGCUUCCCUUUAUAAUUUGAAUAUUUAGAAUUUAAUUGCAUAGAUUGUGUAUUUGUUUGAAUGUUGAGUGCAUUUUAAUUUACAAAAAAUACAAAAAUGGCAUGGUUGCAUUUAGGAUUUAAUUUUUGCAUGUUUAACAAUAUUAAAAAUGAGAAAAAUAACAAAAUUUGCUAUACCUACAUUUGUUUAAUUUUAUUUUUUUGAAUUUUAGAAUUUAGGAUAUUGUAGAGAUUAAUUAGUUUAUUUUGUGGAGGAUAAAAUCUAUUUUGGUUUAUUUUUUAUUCUAUUUUUAAAUGUGAAAAAUAAAAUAAAAUAAAAAUGGGAGAUGAACAAAUAAGUGUAUAGGCCUAGGUCAUCUAUAAGGCAAUAAUUUGGGCCACAUUCCCCACCCCAAACCAUAAACCCACUUAACCAGACCAAAGCUUGACUCCUGCCCAGUCCAAUAACACCAAGUCCAAAACAACGUCGUUGGACGUCCGUUAAUCUCAACCAUCCAUACUCCUCGAUCCAACGGCUUAGAUUGAGCCUUACAUUUUCAAUAUAACUGUCCAAACCCCUGAAGUACCUCAGAGAUUAAAGGUCACCCUCCUCGUUAUAAUUGCCUAUCGGUGUAACGCCGCCGCCAAUCCACUGUACCACCACCGUCCGCCACCGGCCAAAAAUUGUCGUUGACGCUGGUGUAACUCCAAUAGCCUCCAAAUUUACACCCCAGAAUUCCCAUUGUCUCCUCUUCCAAACCCUCCUAAGACCGCCCUUUGAAACCCACUCCAACCCGUCGAAUAUUUUUCCAAAGCCCGGCUGGAAAAUUAACACCAUGGGACCCCCUCACUCUCCUCUUCCUAACCCUACCAUCAGUCACUCUCAAACACGACCCCAUCCCUUUGAAUGUUCACCUGAAGUAAGUAGCUCCGCCAUGCAAGAUAGUGGCUAGCCUCCUAUGGCUUCCAAACUAUCACCACCCACCCCUUCUAGCCCUCCUUUAUCCAAAAACACACCCAAGCCUUCCCAAAAAACCCCAGAACGCUCCAAUCAUGAAACCGACCAUGCCAGAGGUCUUCGAUUGACCAUUGGAAAAACGUUUGGGUGCCGCUUGGAAGCUUGAAUUUAUUUCCACUAAGCUUAACUGAAGAAAACCGGUAAGCUCACCCCAAUCCUAAUUUAUUUUUCUAUUUUUGUAAUUAAAUCUGACUUUGUUUUUUUUUUUAGUUUAAAAUGGCAUCUUAUUAGAUUUCACUUAUGCUAUUUCUAUUCUGAUUGUGUGAAUGAUUUGUUGGCUUCAUUUUCGUUGUGAAACUAGACACUAGGUUUUGGUUGCUCUCAAUAGUUUCCAUGUUUCCUGCAAUUUCGAUUGUAUUCUUGACCUCUGAAUGUGAGUAUUGGUUCGUGGUUCACAUGUAAUCAGAAUUUGGUCAUAGUAUAAUAGCCCCAUAUUUGUCUUUGAUUUCAAAUAAUUUCUCCAUUUCUGAGUUGAAUGUCGAUUAAUAACUCAUAUGGUUUAAGCUUGAUUUCUUAGUGUGAGUGUUCAAUUGUGUUAACAGCAUGAUAGUUCUAUGUUCUUCUUCUAAAUUUGAGUAUUGGACUUGAUUUCUAAUUUGAUUUCUGAGAAUUGAUUGGCAUUUGUUCUUGAUUCAUAGCAUUAGGAUUGGUUAUAGCUUUUUGUCAUACCUCCUUUUUACACACCUACCCCGAAGGAUAAAAUGCGUAAGGGAGUUUUUCCAAUUAAAGUGACAUUAUUCGAAAUGGAAUUAUUUAUUCAAUUUUAUUCAGAGUCGCCACUUGGGAUAAUUUAUUUGGUGUCCCAAGUCACCGUUUUGUUAUAAAUCCUAAAUCGAGGAAAAGAAUGACUCCGUUUAACAGUCCAUGAACCAGAAAUUCGAGUAAGGAAUUCCAUUAACCCGUGGGAAGGUGUUAGGCAUUCCCGAGUUUCGUAGUUCUAGCACAGUCACUCAACUAUUAUAUUCAGCUUAAUUAUCUGAUUUUAGUAGAUGUUUAUUCUAUGAGAAUUUUUUAAUUAUUAAUCGCUUUAUUCAUUUUAGGAAUAUUUGCAACGUUAUUAAAACACGUCUCAAACCACGUCACAAAAAUGUACCCGGGUUCUCGACACAUGUUAACAUGGUUGAGACUUGGAUUUGGGUCAUAUAAAUGCGCACCCAAAAUUAGGAAGAUAUCUAAUUCAAAUAUUGCACCUAUAGAAACUACGCGUUUGGAAAUUCGUGGAAGGCGGUGAAAUUCGCUAAACAGCACCUCCGAAUUUCUAUGCAUUUUCAUUAUAGUUAAGGAGCCAACGUAGUGCAUGAUUUUGUUAGAGCGACUCACUUUAUUUUAGAAAAAGUAAACCUAAGAGACUAUAGUUUUCUAUUAUACUCGUCUCUAAAAAUACGUCCUAAUUAUUUCACACGAGAGUGAUAUAUUCAAAAGGAGAUUUAGCGCCUAUAUUUUAAGCCUCAUUCAUGGAUGGUUUUGCAAUUUGAGCUCCGUUAUCGGAAAUAGCAAGCCUAGGAAAUGCAUUCCUUUAUGUUUCACAACUAACAACAGUUUGAGCCUUCAACUUGAGCCCAGAAACGUUGGACUACAAGUCCAUCGUAGAGAAUGAUAACUACCUUUCGAUUUUCUAUACUACAAUUGUUGACAUUGUGGAAUUGAUCAUCGUUAAAACAUAUUGAAGAAAUAUUAGCAAAGAGAAUUCUUAUAAUGAUUUUAUAUAUCAACAAAUUAAUAAAUUAUGACUGAAAUUUCGAAUCUGGAAUCUAAGGAAAGAGAUUGAUGUACUCAUCAUUCAAAGUAUAUAUAAAUACAACUAUCGAAUCCCUACUACAGCAUAAAUCAUGAACACCAGGUAAAUUAGGACUAACCUAUUUUAAACCUACUGAAAUCUAAACAAAUUAAAUUUAUAGUCCAAGUACAGUCCAACAUCAUUACACGUUUAUGCAUAGUACAAUAGCAGAAAUACUACUGAAACUAAUAACAUUUAUAAUAUGACAUUGACAUAAAAUAGGGUCAUCUUCAUUAUCAAUUAUGAUCUCGAACAUUUAUAGAUAUGCUUUCCCAGAUUUUGAAUGAGAAUGGUACCUAGAAUUAUAGUAGAAAAGGUCCUAUGAGUAAAGCAAACGUAAGGCAAAGAAGCAACAACGGCCAAAUAACUAGUAAACCCAUGAACUCAGGAUGUUUUGAGGGGCAAAUAAUGAAAACAGGUCUCCCUAACAGCUCAAAAUGCACAUGCAAUCAAUCCAUCUUCGACUUAUAAUAAGUAGCACUUUGAUUAUUAAAGAAGACUCAUCCAGAAGAACAAACUUGGAAUGGAUUUCAGCUGAAUAUUAUAUGAAAGUGUAUCUCAAUGUGUAUCUUUUUCUAUAUCUGAAAAAUUGCCUUCUAGCUCUAGAAAAGUCUCUUUAAAAAUAAUCAGACGUCCCCUUUAUAACUAGAGCCUUAGGGCAACAAAAAGCUUUUAUUUUCCUUUAGUCCUUUACCCAUUUUUUCAGAUUUGCCCAAAUGAUCCUUGAUUUUCUAACUUGUGUCUCAUGUUUUGGGCAGAAUUAACAGAAAUUACGCUUUGGCCCUUUACUAGAAUGUUCCAGGAGUUUGUUAUAGGAUUCCCUAUGUUCAAAUACCCUUAAUACACCUGUCCUCUUUUGUUAAUUACUGGCCUAAGUGCUUUAAACCCUGUACCUAUCUAUUUGGUCAGAAACUGAUCCUAGUUAAAUACUUCAGGUUAUAAACAAAGAUUAUCAUUAGCAGCUAGGAUCAAACUCUGAAUUGCAGAUUAUAUUAUACUAUGCAAAAGAAAACGACCAAGGGUCGAAAUUUGAUCAAUGCAACAUAUAUACCCAGGCAAAUAUCAAUAAAUUACUCAGAAACAAUACAAAGCUAAACAACACAAAUUUCAGAAAUACAGGACACUAAUCAAUUUUGAACCAAAUAUGACCAAUUCUCAGCUCAGCAUAAUAAUUCAAAUAAGUCAACAAGAAUAGACUGUGACUUCAAAUGUUAAGCAGACCAUUCAGAAACAUGUUAUCCAGACUUAAACAAAAACAAGCAAGGAAGCAAAUACUCAGGAUAUGAGCAGAUGAAAACUUAAUGUAUUUAAACAAAUGAAAAAAUAAAGAAAAUCAAAAGCAAUUAGAAAAGAGAACCAGGACGAGUAUACAACUCUAGAUGGAAAUACAUACUCAGAAUUUUAAUGGCCAAUUCUGAGCUCAACACAAUAAUUCAAACAAGUCAACAAAUUGUGACUUCAAAUGUUAAGCAGACCAUUAAUAAACAAGUUAUCCAGACUUAAACAAAAAUGAACAAGGAAGCAAAUACUCGGGAUAUUUCAAAGAUGAGCAGAUGAAAACUUAAUGUAUUUAAGCGAAUGAAAAAAUAAAGAAAAUCAAAAGCCAUUAGAAAAGAGAAUCAGGACGACUAUACAACUUUAGAUUGAAAUACCUACUCAGAAUUUUUCAAAGAUGAACAGAUAGAAAACAUAAUAUACUUAACAAAUGCAAAAUAGAGAAGAUCAACAGAAAAAGAAAACAAGGAUGAGUGUAUGACUCUAGAUGGAAACACCUACUCAGAAUAUAUUGAAGAGGAACAGAUAGAAAACUUCAUAUACUCAAAAAAAUGAAUAAAAGAAAGCAAUUAGAAAAGAAACCAAUCAAGAUCAAAAAGCAGUAAAGCAAUAAAACUAAGAGAACUUAUCUUUUUUCAGUGUUGUAUCCCUAAAAUAGGACUCUUCAAAUCUCAAGGCUCUUUGACCCUUUCUGAGAGGGUUUUUGGUCUCUUGAGACCUUUGUUUCAUUUUUGGAGAAGAAGAUAGGGUGUCAGGCUAGGACUGAUUGACUUUGAGACGGGGUGGGGUUUCAGAUUCGAUUUUUGGCCAAACCUUGUUGUAUUCAAAGGUCGUUGGUCAUGGGGUUGUGGAUGGGAAGGUGAGAUGGUUACCAAGGACUAUUUUUGAGGGAUUCCAGUGAAUUUAGGGUUUGGGUCAAAAACUUCGAUUUGAUAUUCGAAGAGGUCUGUUAGGAUUCGAGGGAUAAAACUUAGAUGGUUGGGGAGAGGGGAACGAGGCGGUUUGGGGAUGUUACUUUGGGCAGGUUUGGGGUUGGUGACACCAUAGGUGGCGGAGCCGGCGACUAUUCUUUCGAAUAUUCGACGAGCUGGAGAGAUAUUUAAGGGAAUCUAAUAGAGGGAGGUGAAAGAGGAGGUUGAGAGGAUUCAGUGGUGUACAUUUAGGGCCAUUUGGUGGCCGGCAGCCGCCGUGAGGCGAUUUCCGGCAGCGGCGCCGGUGGUUGAGGGGUGGUGUUGCAGUGUUUGAGGGGCGGUGUUACACCGGUGUAUAUGCACGAGGAUGAUGACUUUGGUCUCCUGCAUAUACACAGGCGUUUGACAUAUAUAUUGGGCUUGGGGAAGGGGUUUCAGGGUCAUUGGAUUGAUGCAGAUGAACGGCCGAGAUUGAUCGCCCCAAAACAAUGUCGUUCUGAGGCGUCUUUUAUAUGGACUGGAUCAGAGACGGGUUUUUAGGCUGGGUUUUGGGUAUUUCAAACGUGUUCAGGGUUUGAGCCACCUAGGCGUAGCCUAAUUGUGGCCAGCCUGGUUUUAAAACAUUUCAAACUUAAUUUUUCAUUUUCGUUUUUUGGACUUCCAAAGUUUAUUUUAAAAUUCUUAAUUAGGCUGAAUUACAACUAAUAACCACUUAAACAUAAACAAAUAUGAAAAUUAAAAAUGAAAAUGCCAAAAAUGAAAAUUAAUAAUAAAAUGCCAAAAUAAACUCCUUUUUUUUGUAAUUUUAUAUUUGCAAAAUAAACCUUAACUACCAAUUAAUUUAACAAAAUAUGUGAAAUUAAAUCCUAAAUGCUUAUAUAAUUUUUUGUAUCUUUUUUGACUUGUCAUGCAUGCAUCAACGAAAAAACAAACUGAUAUGUGCAAUUAAAUCCUAAAAACAAAUAAUAAAAAAGGAAAAAUCCUAUUUUUGAGAAUUCUGUAGGAGUAAUUUUAACGGGGUAAAAAUCACAUGCUCACAGUGUUAAGACUAGAAGAAUUAGUUUUAGGAGUUGGAUUUGAUACCAAAUAAGUAAUUUCAGGGUAAUGUAGGGUUUUUCCCACCUAAUUUUGAUAAUUCUAGGAUAAAUAGGGGUAAUAGAGAAUUUUAAUCUAGUAUUGGCAAUUUUCAGAAUAAAAUAGGGGCAAUAUAGAGUUUUCAACCUGGCUUUGGUAAUAUUAGGAACAAAAUAAUGGUAGUAUAGGUAGUCUAUAAAGGGAUGACAUUGGUAGAAGCCUUUAGACCCUUCUAGAAGGGGUCUUUAACAUAAAAUCAGUAGUCUUAUUGCAAUAACUUAGGAAACAAGUCAAAAAAUGAGGGUCUAAGUAUGUAAAAUCUGGAAAUUGAAAGAGGGACCUUUAGUUAUAACAAAAUAAAAGUGGUGCCCUAGCCUUUGGCUAUAAAAGGGACAGAAAAUCAACCAAAAACAGAGGCUGGACACUCUGAAAAAUCACUGAAAAUCUCCAGCCAUAGUCAAAAAUUAGUUUUCCAAUUCAUGCAAUUAUAACAAAAAGAUCAAAAAAUACAUUAGUAUAGUUGGAGCUAUUAGAAGCUUUUCCCUCAAAUCUGGGCAUUUUAGGAAUCCAAAAAUCAGUUGAAAAUCAGCAAAUACUAUUCCAUUGAAGGUCAAACUAUUUUUAGAGUUUAUUUUGGUCUUUGUUCUGAGAUUUUCUUCACUUACUUGGUUUUAACUGUUUCCUGGAGUCCUGUGUCUGAUUGCAAGUCGUUUGGGAUCACUUGAAGUUUGUUGUGGUUCAAAUUUGGUCUUGGGUGCAAAGCUGGGCUGUUAGAUAGGUCUUAUUGCUGUGUGGUUGUUUUUUUUCAACUGCUGGGGUGCUUAAAUUGCUGCUGACCUUCCUUCUUCUUAUUUGCAUUCAACUUCCAGGUAUACAUUCUAACUCUUCAAGAUGUAAAGGGGAUUCGGAGAUGGAAUGAAAAGAAUAUUUGCUAAGUUCUUGUUAAUUAGUUUCGGUUAUUUUAGCAUGUUUUUUUGGGUGUGUAUUUGGAUAUUGAAUAUUUGAUUCGAACAAGGUAGAGUAACUUGAUCAUGCCCUCAUAAUUUUGAGCCAGGCUGUUAGAAUCAUAUUGGUCGUAUUACGUAGUGGUGAUGGUAUGGAUUUAAAUUUGAGGGCCACUCAGAUCCAAUCUGGGAUCCAUAAUUCAUGCUGCGUAUAAGGCAUUUUGAACUUGCGUAGUUUUAUUUAAGUAGAUAUUUAGUGUAGAAGUGUUGUUUAAUAUUCCGUUUGUUCAAAUUGGGAUUGCAACUGAACUUGGGUGAUGUAAUUAGCUGAUGGGUAUACCUUCCCUAUAUGCACAAUGCCAUCUCACAUAUUUGGUAUAUGAGUCGAAUAUGUUAAUCUUUGGAUCAGUGUUUGGAUCAACAUCAGUAUUAGGCAACUUUUGUUUACCUUUGAAUUUGCGAGCAAUCAAUCAUGAAUCAAGGAAUUAGCUCUUAGUCUGAUUUUUUUUUGUUUAGCAUGGUUUAGCGUCCACAAAUAUAGCCUUAAUGAGGCCUUCAGCCUAAAUGAAACGGCUGCUUUCCAGCAUCAAGGACUGGACUUCCAGGCUGGGCUUCGCUUGAGGCCCAGCUGUUUCAUAAAUUGAAUCCACAUAGAUGUAAUAUAGAUACAAUUGACAAUGAACCCUCGUAGCAAGCCUUUAGGGUCAUUUAAAAUACAAAUUAUGGUUAUGUGUGCGUUCACGUAACACAACCACGAUUCUAAAGUAAUUUGGAGGAGCGGCAAUAGAUAAAAAAAAAGUUAUAAUAUUCCGAGCAUUUAGUAUAAGUAUCCUUUAAAAUAGACUCGAGGUGCGCCGCAUCGAUUAAAAUCACAAACGCGUGGCCUUAUUUAGUUAUGUCUUUUUAAAAUACUUAGAACUCGGGACGAGCCGUUUAGCGAAUUUUCACGGUCUCUUGCAAAGUUAAUAACGCGUAGUUGCUUUAGGCACGUGUUUAAUAAUAUUACUUUCCUAAAUUCGGGUGCACAUUUAUGUGACCCAAAUCCAAAUUUCAACAAUGUUGGAAUAUAUCAAAAACCACGGGUGCAUUUAUGUGACGUGUUUCAAGACAUGUUUUAAUGACGUUACAAUACUCAUUAAAAAUAAUAAUAAAAGUGGUUAAAAGAUUAAAAAUGCACAUAGGUUCGUAAUUGUAAAAAUCAGAUAAUUUAAGCCAAAUAUAACAGUUGAGCGACCGUCCUGGAACCAUGGAACUCUGGAGCGCCUAACACCUUCUCCCGGGUAAACAAAAUUUCUUAUCCAGAUUUCUGGUUCGCGGACUGUUAAACAGAGUUAUUCUUUCCUCGAUUCGGGAUUCUAAACGGUGAGUUGGGACACCAUAAAUCUCCCAAGUUGAGACUCUGAGAUUUUCUUAAAUAAUUGAAUCCUGUUUGAUUGUCCUUUAAUUGGAAAAACUCCGUUAUCUACGCCCUUCGCCGGGUUGUAGUAGCCAAAAGGAGGUGUGAAAGCUCUAGCGACUCUGCUGGGGAAAGUGCCCAGAAUCUCUGAUUCAGGGUUCAAGAAUUCAAGCUUAGAAUUAUUGCUGUAUUUGGAUUUGUUUAUUAUUUGAUUUUACAUCUUGUCUUAAUGUGCAAAAUGAUGCUUUUACCGUUUUGAUAUUUUCUGAACUGUACACAUAAACUGCAAUGAAACCCUUCACUUCUCACCUCCGGGGAUGUGCUUACUGGUUGAGACUCCUUAUUCUGUUAGUGGCAUACCCUGAAAUAAGAAAUAGGCCGGACAAGUUACUAAUCCGGGUGGCCUUUUGGUUCUCGGUACGUACUCGACUUGAAUUGUCCGUUCGGGUGCACAAUCUAGACUCUUACCAAGGUUUUUGACUUAGAAUAACUUGACCUCAUGUCGGAUUCUUAGUAGGAACGCUUAUUUGCAUCUUGCAUUUGACCUAGGCGACUCAACACAGAUGUUGGGUCCGUAUAGGACAGGUGACCCGAAAUGAAAACACCAUCCUGAUGCAUAUUACGUGUUGCUCGUGCAUUUAGCUGCUUGGGAUUUGCAUUUUGACCGCCUUGAGAAUAAAGGAAAGAAAAUUGGGAAAAGGAGUAGUACUAAGGUUGGUUGAUAUUAAUCAUUUGUCUUGUAAAACCAAUGCUCAAAUAGCACUGAAAUGCUGUCGGAUUUUUCAAAGAAAAAAAAACAAAAAAACAAGAACAAAAAAACAAACAAAAGAAAUGGGGGAUUUUCAAAGUUUUCAUUUUGAUAGAUUGUUUUGCCCGAACAAUACUAGUUAAAUUCUCGCCGGAUAUGAGAUACGUAGGCAACCCCCAUCGGGUCCAACCUCCCUUUUUCAAAAAUAACCAAAAAAAUGUCCAAUAUUACUUAUUCGUCAAGUGAUGGAAGACCUCCGCCACCUCCAAGGGAGUUUAGCAUGCAAGCCUGCGGUUUGGCCGAAUGAUGACCCGCGAGUCCCAGGAUCACCUGAAGCAUUAAUGUAUUCAUAAGGAUCACCUGUCCUUUUGUCAAAAUAUAUUUAAAAGGCUAUCAUUUUAACCAGGAGUCUAUAUUUUCUUUUAUGCAUAGUUAGUUGUUUUUCGAGUCCGCAGUUCACUUUUUAUCCAAGCUUGUUAGUUUCUUGUUUAAUUUGUCAGUCCUUCGAUUCCUUGUAACCGAAGUCUUUAUUGUGAGGAUGGAAAUUUCCAAAAUAUUUUUAUGGUUCGCUUUUUGCUUGCAAUAACUACGUUCGGUCUGAUUCAUGCGCGGCAUGAUACAUAAGCAAUCUACAUAGGAUUCGACCAUAAUUGAAUAAAAUAAAGGAGAAAGUGAAUGAUAUAGAAAAGAGGGAGAGAACAAGGCUAAAACAAAAGGGAGCUUCCCAAAUAAAAGCUGGGAUGACGCAAGCAACUAAUGCAUGGAAGGACCAACUGUCAUUUAUGUGCAUUCAUACCCAAUAUUUAACCGCAUAUGUGUUAUAACCUAACCACUAACAAGUUUUUGGUGUUAUUCCAAUUUCAAAUUAGACAAGUGAUUAGUACUCGCAGAAUUCUGGCAACCUACUCCGACAACACAUGGUCUAAAAGCAAGCAAGUCAUGGCCAGUCAGGAAGCCGAUGUCAGAAUUAUUGACCCCUCGAAGGAAGUAGAAGAAUUGGAUGUUAAUGUUAUGAAGGAGGAGAUGUAUCAGCUUAAGCACCCAAUGGCUGAGCUGUACCAGGCAUGGGAAAGAGGACAGCCACCCCCGGCCUAUCCUGCUAAUCCAACCUUCAUCCCCCCACUGGCCCAAGCACCUGACCAGUCCGCCACUGACCCACCCUCAAGUUUUCCUAUUUAUUCAAAACAUCAGAGUAUGACCUCUAAACCACCACCAACUCCGCUACCCAAAGUCAGUCCUUAUCCUCCUCCACCAAUUGCUCCUAUCUAUGUGGCACCUCCACCUCCUACACUUCAUAGGUCGUCGAGUGGACCCCUGCUUCAAGCUUAUGACCCUCAAUACAAUCCACCAGAACCUGCUUACAAAACCCAGGAGCCUUACUCAUAUGCUUCCCGUCUCGAAAACCCGACAGGAGUCGAAAAAAUGAUCUAAAAUCCUUAGCAGGAAGAGAUGCUUAGAAAUGUCCAGAGUCUGCAACAAUCAUUCAGGGACAUGCGGAGAUUAAGUGGACAUGUGAGCAUGUCGUUCAAGGAUCUUGGUCUAUUACCAGGCGUGCAGUUGCCUCCAGGUUUCAAGAUGCCAAAAUUCAACUUAUAUGAUGGUCAUGGCGAUCCGCUCGCGCAUCUAAGGGGUUUUUCCAGGAAAAUAAGGGGAGCAGGGGAAAGAUGAAUUGUUAAUGGCAUACUUAUAGUCAGAGUUUAAGUGGAUCGGCGCUGGAGUGGUAUACUCGGCAGGAUCCCAAUCGGUGGUAUACUUGGGAUGACAUGGCACAAGCAUUUGCCUGCCACUUUCAAUAUAAUCUCGAGAUUAUCCCGGAUCAUCUAUCUAUGACAAAGCUGGAGAAGAAAAACAAUGAGAGUUUCAGGGAGUACAGUUUCUGGUGGAGGGAACAAGCAGCAAAAGUCAAUUUUCCCAUUAAGGAGAGUGAGAUGGUUGACUAUUUUCUACAGGCAUUGGAACAUACCUAUUUUGGACAUUGGGUGUCAGCAGUGGGAAAGUAUUUCAACGAUGUGGUCAAGAUGGGAAGUAUGGUCGAGGAAGGCCUCAAAUCCAAUAAAAUCAUGAGCGACUCCACGAUUAAGGCAACUACUCAGGCCAUCCAAGGUGGAUCUAGGGGAACAUUAGGAAAGAAGAAGAAGGAGGAAGUAGCGAUAGUGGAGUCGAGAAUUUGGUUCAGACCUCGGACGCCAUCUCAUUAGGCCCAACCCCGUCCACAUCACCAAACAUACCCAUAUGCUCUAUACGUCCCACCACAAUAUUACUAUCCACCACCAGAACCCCGCUUCUUAGUCCAUCACGCGCAAGCAUAUACACAUCCUCCCGCUCACGCACAAUGGCGUGCGCCACCCCCUCAAAACACCUACCCAACUCCAUAAAAUCGUUACCCGCCUCCAAGAGCUUACCAAUAACCCCCGAAGCUUGCCUUCCGAGUCAAUCAAGUCCUGAGAAAUAAGAGGGUACAGAAAAAGAAGACUUUCACUCUGCUGGGAGAAAUCUACACUAGCGUAUUCCACAGGCUGUGUCAACUGGUUAUGUUGAGACCAAUUGAAGCGAAACUGCCAAAUCCUCCCCCGAAGAAUUUAGAUUAUUCAGUCAGCCGUGAAUACUGUUACGGUGCACCUGGGCAUGACACUGAAAAGUGUUGCCAUUACAAAAACACUAUCCAAGAACUUAUUGACUCCCACCGGAUUGAAGUACAGACCCCAGAGGCACCCAAUAUUAACCAAAACCCGCUGCCGGUCCAUCAUGAAACCAACAUGAUUGAAAAUGUGGAAAGAAUGGGAGAGUCCGGAAGGACUUCACAAAUGGUAAUGAUGAUCAAAGACAGUGAGUAUAAGCCAACUGAGGUGGCAAGCAGUGAGAAGCUAGUAACUGGGGCAAAAGAAAAAGGCAGCAAGCCUGUCAUAGUUUAAGGGAGCUCAGCAUGCGCGGUUGCGCCAAAGCAAGAAUAGGCAAAAGUAACAGUACAUGGGGCAGUUAUAGAACCUGUCGAUGUUUUGGAAGGUGUCCACAUAGAGCUUGUUAUUGCAAAACCAUCAAUCCAUCCACCAAUCAUCAACAGCAAGGCCAUUCCUUGGAGACAUGAGCAAGCAAGUGAUGUAUAAGGGAAAAGAAGUCAGGGAGGAAGUGUAUGAGGCCCGGGGUUUAACUCGGUCAGGAAGGUACUUUUCCCAUAAGAAUUGAGAAAGAGAAGAAUCUCUAAAGAUAACCAAGAACCAAUGAAGAAAAAUGUGUCAGAAGAAGAAGAGGAAGAGUUCUUGAAGAAAAUGAAAAUGCAAGACUACUCCAUCAUAGAGCAGUUAAGGAAGACACCAGAUCAGAUUUCCUUGUUAUCCUUACUGAUCCACUCAGAUGAAAACCGUGGGGCAUUAAUGAAGAUUCUGAACGAAACACAUACCGCAGAUAAGAUAAUGGUGAUCAUUUAGAAAAGAUUGCAAACAAGAUAUUCGAGGUAAACCGGGUCACAUUCUCUGACGAUGAAAUCCCCAUGGAGGGCACUGAGCACAACCGAGCUCUUUAUCAGACCAUGAAAUUUGAAGAUGUUGUGGUUACCCGAGUUUAGUCGACAACAGGUCCAGUGCAAAUAUUUGUCCACUAUUUGCAUUGACCAAGCUGAAGGUAAAAAACGAAAGGGUCUGCAAGAAUAAAAUCUGUGUUUGAGGUUUCCAUGGUGGAGGAAAAGACACCGUAGGAGAUAUAGUGCUGGAAGUGACCAUAGGACCCUUUGAGUUAACCAUGGAAUUACAAGUGCUGGAUGUAGAAGUCUCCGAUAACUUGUUUUUGUGUAGGCCUUGGAUUCAUGCAGCCAAAGAGGUGCCAUCUACGCUGUAUCAGAUGGUCAAAUUUGAAUAGGACAGGCGAGAGAUUGUGGUGCAUGGUGAAGAAAAUCAGUGUACUUCAGGUGACAUGGUCGUACCUUUCAUUGAAUUUGAGGACCGCAAAGGGCCAUGGGUCUACCAGGUGUUUGAUACGGUGUCACUGCAGAAAAUCCCAGAAGGUGAGGUUGUCCUUACCCCAAAGAUAGCAACUCCAUCCGUCAUGGUGGCUUCAGAAAUGUUGAAAAAUGGUUUCAAGCCCGGCAAGAGUUUGGGGGAUUCCCUGCAAGGCAUUGUGCAACCAGUGUCCCUCCCCAAAAAUCUGGACACAUUUGGCCUAGGGUUCAAGCCCACAGCCGACGAUAUAAGGUGAGUCAGGAAGCUAAGGCAGACGGCUUGGGUUCUCCCAAAACCCAUCCCAAGGUUGUCCAAAUCAUUCAUCAAAUCUAGUAGAAGCAAUGGCUCAAGACCAAAGAUUUCCGGCCCGCUGAUCGACACGGACAGAGAUCUUGAUAAAAGAUUGGAAAGACUGUUCAAUGAGGUAAAUAUGGUCGAGGCAGGAGAAGGAUCCAGCAUGGCAGAUGUGCAUUUUGUGGGAGAAUGCGCAAAAAUCAAUAACUGGGAAGCCACUCCUCUUCCCACUCUGAGGGAUUCGUGGUAGUCGACUUUGACGUUCCUUUCAGUCUAGUUUGGAUUAGCGUCAGAGUUGUCAAUUCAUUUGUUACUUCCGUCUUUUUGGAUGUGUAAACACUGUUAUCUUUGAUUCUAAUGAAAUGCAAUUUUCCUUUCAGCAAUCUUGAUAAUUUCCAUUUCUCUUUACUUUUCUUUCUUUUCUCUUUUGUACAGUUAUUUUUAUGCUGGUUCCACUGAUCUGACAUGCAUAAGGACUCCUUGGCCCAAUCUUCAAAAUAGGUCUUGUUCAGAAAUAAUAAUUCAGGAAAUAGAACAUGAGGAUGAGCCAGGGUAUGAUGAGGAAGGGGCAUGGGAUGAGAUUAGUAAAGAGUUGACCCAAUUCAAGGAGAAACCAAAACCGAACAUGAAUGAUACCGAGGAAACCAAUUUAGGAAACACGGAUAAUAUCAGAGAAACAUAAAUAAGUGUCCACCUGGAGCCACAGCUCAGGGAAGAAAUAAUUGAAGUGUUGCUUGAGUACAAAGAUGUCUUUGCGUGGUCCUACGACGACAUGACCGGAUUGACCAGUGAUAUGCUGGUCCACAAGUUACCGACUGACCCAUCCUCCCCGCUUGUCAAGAAAAAGUUGAGAAAGUUCAAAAUUGAUGUGAGUGUUAAAAUUAAAGAGGAAGUGACCAAGAAGUUUGAGGGAAAAAUCAUCCGAGUCACACGAUACCCCACCGUUAAAAUCAAAGAGGAAGUAACCAAGAAAUUUUAGGCAAAAGUCAUCUGAGUCAUACGAUACCCUACUUGGUUAGCUAAUGUUGUGCAUGUGUCGAAGAAGGACGGUAAAACCAGGGUGUUGAUUACCAUGACCUCGAUAAAGCAAGUCCAAAAGACAACUUUCCUAUGCUGAACAUCAACAUAUUGAUUGACAAUUGUGCGAAGAAGGAGAUCCGGUGAUUCCUGGAUUGUUACGGAGGACACCACCAGAUCUUGAUGGAUAAAGAAGAUGCGGGGAAAAUAGCAUUCAUCAUACCGUGGGGGACAUAUUGUUAUAGAGUCAUGCUUUUUGGUUUGAAAACAUAGGGGAAACAUAUAUGAGGGCCAUGACAACCAUUUUUUAUGAUAUGAUCCACAAAGAAAUCAAGGUUUAUGUGUGAUAAUCAAGUCCAGAAAGCAAUUUGAUCAUGUCAAAGACCUGAGGAAAUUCUUCCAAAGGCUCUGCAGGUAUGACCUCAAACUCAACCCGGCAAUGUGCAUUUCAGGUCCCCUGGGGGAAAGUUGGUAGGGUUCAUAGUCAGCCGCCGAGGCAUUGAAUUAGACCCAUCAAAAUUCAAAGCUAUACAGGAGCUGCCGCCACCAAGGAACAAAACAGAGGUGAUGAGUCUACUGGGAAGAUUAAAUUACAUCAGUCGGUUCACUGCUCAGCUCAUAACCAUCUGCGAGCCCAUCUAUAAGAUAUUGAAAAUGGAUGCUGUGGUAAAAUGGACUGGAGAGUGUCAAGAGGCUUUAGAUAAGAUAAAGGAAUAUUUAUCGAACCCACCAGUAUUGGUCCCGCCAGAACCAGGAAAGCCUUUGAUCUUAUAUUUGACAGUUUUGGACAACUCAUUUGGGUGCGUGUUGGGUCACCACGAUGUUACCGUGAGGAAAGAGCACGCCAUAUACUACCUUGGAAACAAAUUUACGGCCUAUGAGGUUAAGUAUACUCAUCUUGAAAGGACAUGCUACGCCUUGACGUGGGUAGCCCAAAAGAUAAAGCAUUACUUGUCAUCAUAUACCACUUAUCUCAUCUCACGAUUGGACCUAUUGAAAUACAUUCUCCAGAAGCCCAUGCCAACAGGAAGGCUCACGAAAUGGAAAAUCUUGCUCACUGAGUUUGACAUUAUCUACGUGACUAUGAAUGCUACGAAGGCACAAGCAUUGGUGAACCAUUUAGUGGAGAAUCCAAUAGAUGAAGAUACGAGCCCUUGAACACAUAUUUCCAUGACGAGUAAGUGAUACAUAUCAAUGAAGUGGAACGGGAUGAGAAGACGGGAUGGAAACUGUUCUUUGAUGGUGCUGUCAACAUGAAAGGCGUUGGGAUAAGAGCGGUGCUCAUUUCUGAAGAAGGGAAUCAUUACCCAGUCACAUCUCAACUCCGCUUCUAUUGCACCAACAACAUGGCAGAAUAAGAAGCAUGUAUUCUGGGUUUGAGAUUAGCAGCGGACAUAGGUGUCCAGGAAGUCUUGGUCUUGGGAGUCUCGGACCUUCUAGAACAUCAGAUUCAAGGGGAGUGGGAAACAAGAGAUAUAAAACUCAUACCACAGCGGCAAUGCUUACAUGAUCUCUGUCAACGAUUCCGGUCAAUAGAGUUCAGGCACAUCCCUAGAAUUCACAAUAAGGUUGCUGACGCCAUGGUUACUUUGGCGUCAAUGUUACAUUAUCCGCACAAGACUUAUGUUGAUCCGAUACAUAUCCGGGUCCAUGAUCAACAUGAUUAUUGCAAUAUGGUGGAAGAAGAGAUUGACAGCGAAACUUGGUUCCACGACAUCCAGGAGUAUAUCAUGAGAGGUGUGAACCAUGUACAAGCCACGAGUGACCAGAAGAGAACAAUCCGUCGUUUAUCAAGUGGGUUUUUCUUCAGCGGAGGAAUACUAUACAAAAGAACGCCAUAUCUUGGUUUGCUCAGAUGCAUUGAUGUUGGAUAGGCGACAGCUAUCAUGAAUGAGAUGCAUGCUGGUGUAUGAAGGCCAUACAUGAGCGGGUAUGUUUUUGCAAAGAAGAUUCUCCAAGAAGGACAUUAUUGGCUCACCAUGGAGUAAGAUUAUAUCAGCCAUGUGCGCAAAUGCCACCAGUGUCAGGUACACGGAGAACUAAUUCACUCUCCUCUGUCUGAAUUGCAUACAAUGUCGGCACCAUGGACUUUCGUUGCUUGGGGCAUGGAUGUCAUCGGGCCCAUUGAGCCAGCAACUUCUAAUAGACACAGAUUUACCCUGGUUGCUAUUGACUAUUUCACCAAAUGGGUUGAAGACAAGACCUUUAAAGCAGUGACCAAGAAGGUCGUGGUCAACUUUGUUCACACAAACAUCAUUUGUCGGUUCGGGAUCCCCAAGACUCUCAUCACUAACAAUGGGGAAAAUCUCAACAAUCACUUAAUGAGAGAGGUGUGUCAACAGUUCUAGAUCACACAUCGAAAUUCUACCCUGUACCGCCCCAAGGAGAACAGAGCAGUUGAGGCGGCCAAUAAGAACAUAAAGAAGAUACUAUGUAAAAUGGUGGAAAAUUCCAGGCAGUGGCAUGAGAAGCUGCCUUUUGCAUUGUUAGGCUAUCUCACGACUGUCUACACCUCGGUAGGGGCCACUCUGUACUUGUUGGUGUAUGGAACAGAGGCUGUAAUCCCGGCAGAAAUUGAAAUCCCCUCUCUUCGAAUCGUGGCCGAAGUAGGAAUCUACGACAAAGAAUGGGUCGGAGCUUGUUUGGGACAAUUGAGUCUGAUUGACGAGAAAAGCUUGGCGGCAGUCCGCAACCGCCAGUUGUGUCAACGAAGGAUGGCCAAGGCAUAUAAUAAGAGAGUACGCCCCAGAAAGUUCGAAGUAGGUCAAUUGGUAUUAAAACGCAUCCACCCUCACCAGGCCGAGGCAAAGGGCAAGUUCGCUCCAAACUGGCAAGGACCAUUCAUCAUAUCAAGAGUAUUAUCCAAUACAGCAUUGUAUCUGACGGAUGUGGAAGGAAAAUGUGUGGAAAUGGCUAUCAAUUCGGACGUUGUCAUAAUAUAUUAUGUAUGAUUUUCUUUUAGAUCAUUGACAAAUGUUUAUACUUGGCAUAUUUUAAAAUUUUAAUGAUGAAGGCAUUUUAUUCUGCUAUAUAAAUACUCCAACCUUUGCUAACCUCUUUGAGCUUAAGUUAUUUUCUUUUCAUACCCCUCUUUCGAAAUCAAUUACCAAAUUCGAAAGCAUAAGUGUGAGAAAGCAAUAAAAGGAAAAAGAAAAAAAUCAUGAAAAGAAUGGAAAAGGAAAAAAAAGAACGGAAAAGAAAGAAAAGAAAGAGAAAAAGAAAGAAAUGAGAAGAAUAAAAACAAUGAAUUAAAAGAAAAGAGAAAAGAAAAAAGAAAAAACAACAAACAAAAUAAAACAAAGAGAAAAGGAAAAGAAAAGAAAGAAAACAAAACAAAACAAAAAAAAGUAGAAAAAGAACAACAAAAACAAGGAAUCGAUAUGAACUACAUUUAACCUGAUUCCUUUUAAAAGGAUACGUAGGCAGCCUCACGGUUCGGUCUCAUCAAAAUAAAAAUCCAAACGUCCCUAAGUAAGAGACUGGGGCAGAAUUGAUGGUUGUUGUAAAAAUGGGAUUCCGAAAGUGGUAAUUCUGAACUCAUUUGAAUUGUUUUGAGCCUUUGAUAUCUUUCCUUUCUAACCCUAUCCAAAAGCCCAUGUUGCGGUCCUAAGAAAGACCUUCUGAUCAGUCUUCAAAAUAUGCCAAUUUGAGCAAGUAGAAGUGAUUCAUGUCAGUGACAACACUCCGAGAUAGGCAAGAGAGAUAAUAAAACGAGAGAGUCUUAUUGGUGAAAACCUUCACGAGAACCAUCAGGUGACGAGAGUUUGAGAGAAUAAAUGAGAGAGUCUUAUUGGUGAAAACCCUCGCGGGAACCAUAAGGCGAUGCAAGUUGAGAAAAUAAAUGAGGGAGGCUCAAUUGGUGAGAACCUUCACAAGCACCCUAAAGCGAAAGUGAGGCAAAAAGCAAAACCCAGAAAGGGGUUGUCAGUGGAUGAACAUUGUAAGGCAAGCCAAGUUACGGUUUGGUUGAAGAAACCGGGUUAGAAGGGUCACAACAACAAAAAACACGGCAACAGAAGGUCGGUCAUCGAAACGGAUUGGGUCGACUAGGACGAAGUGCAUGUCAUGAUCAUGAAAACCAGUUGUUUUCUUUAGAUAAGUCUUUUUUCUUUUCUUUCAACAGUCAGGGAGUCUGGAAUUCUUUACCCUAAAUACCAUUUGGAGUCUUUGCAUUUCAUCUUUCUUUCGAGUCUAUAAAGUUUUUGUUUAAGCAAAUGAGAGGGACUUCAAAGCCGAUUAUCCAUUCCCAAAGGGACAAAGUGCAUGACGCCCAAAAGCGUAAUAAAGAUAACAAGUGGGGAACAGCAAGGGGAAGGCUUCAUAAAAAUUUCAACUGAGGGAAGAGACAAGAGUCGGGAGAGUUAAGGAGUACCACAUGAAAAGGGGCAUGCGAAGUAAAAUCAAAAAGUUUCUAGGGUUAGCGAGCAUCAUACACCGAUUGAGCUAUCUCAGAUAGGACGUAAAGUUGGCAUAACACGAAGACGGGAAAGGCUGCAAGUUUGCAAGGUUUGACUAAGCAUAAUACAUCAGUCGUCGGAGAAAGACAUAAAGAAUUCCAGCAAAGGAUCAAGAGCUCAACACAAGGUGGGGAGCAAAGUGAGGACAUAAAAGAUCAGAAGUCAGCCAAGCAUCACAAAUGGACCAAGUAAUCUCAAGAAAAGGGGUAAGGAGUUUUGGCAAAGGCUAGGAAAUGAGACGCCAAGAUGAGAAACAAAACAAAGCCACAAGGGUCAGAGGAUCAACCAAGUAUAACAUAUUAACUCAACAAUCCUCCGAGAGGGGUAUAAGGCUUCUGAUAAAAGAGUAAAAAACACAACACAAAGGUGGAAAUGGCCAUGAGAGCUGACCCAGCAUGAUAUAUCAACUCAUCAAUCAUCAGGGAAGGAUAUAAAGAAUUCUGGCAAGGGAUUAAUAAUGCAACACAAUGAUGGGAGGAAAAAUAAAACCUAGAGGUAUCGAGGGGUCAGCUAAGCAGUUCAAGCGACUCAUCGUCAAUUUGGGCAAUGGAACACAACGGAACACGACAAUGGGGAGGCCGCUUUCAACAAGAAUGUCGCGAGCCAACCAUCAACACAAGGGCACAAAAUUUUUAGAAAGCCUAAGGGAGGCCGUCUACAGGAGAAGGCAGGUACACGGCGGGUAUGGUCAAAAUCUCAGGGCUCACCUGGAAGAGGGAUUUAGUUAAACUCAAAGGGACAUAGUCCAACCUAAACACACUCCCCAACAAAGAGCACAAGGGGAUAAAACUUUAACCAGCAAACCCCAAAAGAAACAGCCGAGGGCUAAAAGAGACAUAGAAGUUAAGAUGGAACGCAGUCUAAAACUCAAACAGGUGCGAGUGACAGGGGCAAGCACCAACACCUUCCCCAUUAAGAGUCGCAGAAGCCCUCCUGGACAAUAAUCACUUGCAAGAACAGCCAGAAGUUAGAAUUGGAAUUUAAGGCAGAACCUUCAGGACCCUCCUGAAAAAUGGGACUUAGAUUAGAUAUUUCCCCAACAAGAGUCAUCAAGACCCUCCUGAAAAAUGGGACUUAGAUUAGAUAUUUCCCCAACAAGAGUCAUCGGGGCCCUUCUGAAAAAUGGGACAUAGAUUAGAUGCUUCCCCAGCAAGAGUCGACAAGAGUUUUCAAGACCCCCCUGGAUAAUGGGACAUAGCCCUAAGUACUAACCCCCAGCAAACACAUCUUAUCAUCUAAUUAAGAGUUGUCAUGACCUGCCUAGAUAAUGGGAAGUAGUUUUAAUCACCAGUCACUAGUAGACCCCCCAUCAGACAUAACUCAAAACAAGACAUAGUGGAAAAUAAUACCUUCUACGAAAUUUAAAAUAGUCUUAAACUUUUCAUCAGUUAAGAAUUGUCAGGACCCUCUUGGAUAAUGGGACUUAGCUUAUGUUUAUAGAUAUUUGAUAAAGGGAUUUGAUUAACACUCACGAAUCCACUCAGCAUCAAACUGGGGCAGGAAGAAUUUUUGUGUUUCGUUUGUUUUGUUGUGAUUAGGAACACAUGCAGCAGUCUCAAGAAACAUCUCCAAGUCGCGAGAUUUGGUAUGAUAAUCAGGUGGGCAACCACCUGUAGAACAAGGGAAUUUUUUCAAAAUUUCAAGUUUUGGUAAUCAGGCGCUCACCUGUAGAACAAAGGAAUAUUUUCUAAAAUUUUAUGUUUUUGCAGUCAGGCGCCCACCUGUAGAACAUUGGAAUAUUUUUCAAAUUUUACGUUUUUGCAGUCAGGCUUCCACCUGUAGAACAAGGGAAUAUUUUUAUAAUUUUAAGUUUUGACUGUCUGGCGCCCACCAGUAGAACAAGGGAAUAUUUUUCAAAAAUCUUAUGUUUUUGCAAUCAGGCACCCACAUGUAGAACAAGGGAAUAUUUUUCAAAGUUUUAAGUUUUGCAAUCAGGCGACCACCUGUAGAAUAAGGGAAUAUUUUUCAAAUUUCUAGUUUUGGAAAUUAGGAGCCCACCUGUAGAAGAAGGAAAUAUUUCUCAAAAUUCAUGUUUCGAAAGUCAGGUGCCCACCUGUAGAACAAGGGAAUAUUUUUCAAAAUUUUAAGUAUUUGCAAUCAGGCGCCCACCUGUAGAACAAGGAAUAUUUUUCAGAAUUUUAAGUUUUUGCAAUCAUGCGCCCACCUGUAGAACAAGGGAAUAUUUUCAAAAAUCUUAAAUUUUUGCUAUUAGGCGUCCAUCUGUAGAACAAGGGAAUAUUUUUCAAAAUUUUAAGUUCUUGCAAUUAGGCGCUCACCUGUAGAACAAGGGAAUAGUUUUCAAAAUUUUAUGUCUUGACAAUCAGGCGCCCACCUGUAGAACAAGGGAAUAUUUUUUAAAAUUUUAUGUUUUGGCAAUCAGGCUCCCACUUGUAUAACAAGAGAAUACUUUUCAAAAAAUUUCAGGCUUUGGAAAUCAGGCACCCACCUGGAGAACAAGAGAAUAUCUAUUUCAAGUUCUAGUAGUCAGGCGCCCACCUGUAGAACGAGGGAAUGCUUUCAACGGAAUACAUGUCAAGUCCAACAAUUUGGCAUCAGACAUGAAGGAAGAAAAGGCAAGCAGUCAGCGAGGCCACAAGGUGUUCGCAGAAAGAAAUACAAGGCAACAAAGCAACAAGGAUCGAGAUUGAAGAUAGCAUCAAGGAAGAAAAGGCAAGCAGUCAACAAGGCCACUAGGAGUUCGCAUGAAGAAAUACAAGGCAACAAAGCAACAAGGAUCAAGAUCGAGAUUUAAGACGUAAAUAGGCUUUCCUUUGUAGCCCGUAUCUUAUAGGUUAGUCUAGUUUUCUUUUUGUUUUUCAUAUGGUAUAAUAAGGAGGUCACCAAGUAGUAACAGCAGCAUCAGUAGUGCAAUCACAGCUUCUGGUAGUCCCAGCUACCAAACACUGCAGAACUACACUGACAUGAUUCCUCUUUAGUCGAGGAUAUGUAGGCAAUCUUUGAAGCAGUAUUCGGUCAGACAGUUUUCAAAAUGCUUCUCAUGGAAUGCAAAGCAGGCAAAAAUCUCUCUGUUGCUCACUUAUCUUUGCCCGAAAAUCCUUCGUGUCUCCGAGAAAAGAGGGGCAACUAUGAGCACGUGAUUUUUGCCUCACUUGAAAUGUUCCUAUAAAUUCGUUAAACUAGGAUUUUUCUUUUAUUAUUUGAAUUGUUAGGAAUUAAUUAUGUGAUUUCGUAUUUAUUUGCAUUUUUUCUUUUAUUAUUUGAAUUUUUAGAAAUUAAUUGCAUGAUUUUGUGUUUAUUUUCAUUUUUCUUUCAUUAUUCGAAUUUUUACGGGAUAAUUGUGUGAUUUCAUGUUUAUUUGAAUUUUCCUUUAUUAAUUGUGUGAUUUUGUGUUUAUUUACUGCUUUCGUUUAUUAUUUUAAUAUUUAGAAGUUAAUUGCAUAAUUGUGUGUUUGUUUGCAUGUUGAGUGCAUUUUAAUACACAAAAAAUACAAAAAUGGCAUGGUUGCAUUUAGGAUUUAAUUUUUGCAUGUUUAGUAAUAUUAAAAAUGAGAAAAAUAACAAAAUUGGCUAUACCUACAUUUGCCUUAUUUUCGUUUGAAUUUUAGAAUUUAGGAUAUUGUAGAGAUUAAUUAGUUUAUUUUGUGGAGGAUAAAAUCUAUUUUGGUUUAUUUUUAUUUCUUUUUUUAAAUCUGAAAAAAAACAAAAUAAAAAAGGGAGAAGAACAAAUAAGUGUAUAGGCCUAGGUGUUCUAUAAGGCCAUAAUUUGGGCCACAUUCCCCAACCCAAACCAUAAACCCACUUAACCAGACCCAAGCUUGACUCCUUCCCAGUCCAAUAACACCAAGUCCAAAACGACGUCGUUGGACGCCCGUUAAUAUCAACCAUACAUACUCCUCGAUCCAACGGCUCAGAUUGAGCCUUACAUUUUCAAUAUAACUAUCCAAACCCCUGUAGUAGCACAAAUACCAAAGGUCACCCUCCUUGUACUAAUUUCCCACCGGUGUAACACCGCUACCAAUCCACCGUACCACCACCGUCCGCUGCCGGCAGAAAAUCACCGCCGCCGCCGGCAUAACUCCAAUAGCCUCCAAAUUUACACCCCAGAAUCCUUGUUGUCUCCUCUUCCCAACCCUUCUAAGAUCGCCCUUCGAAACCCACCCCAACCUGUCGAAUAUUUUUCCAAAGUUCGGCAUCUCCACCGUCCACGGCAGCGCCCGGUGACCAACGGCCCCCAAAUUAACACCAUGGGACCCCCUCACUCUCCUCUUCCAAACCCUACCAUCAGUCACCCUCAAACAUGACCCCAUCCCUUCGAAUGUUCACCUGAAGUAGGCAGGUCCGCCAUGGAAUGUGGUGGCUGGCCUCCUAUGGCCUCCAAUCUAUCACCACCCACCCCCUCUUGCCGUCCUCUAUCCAAAAACACACCCAAGCCUUCCCAAACAAAUCCAGACCCCUCUAAUCUUGAAACUGACCAUUCCUGAGGUCUGAGAUUGACCAUUGGAAGGACGUUUGAGUGUCACUUGGAAGCUUGACUUUAUUUCCACUAAGCUUAAUUGAAAAAAACUGGUAAGCUCACCCCAAUCCUAAUUUGUUUUUCUAUUUUUGUAAUUAAGUCUGACUUUGGUUUUUUAGUUUAAAAUGGCAUCUUAUUUGAUUUCAAUUCUUCUAUUUCUAUUCUGAUUGUGCAAAUGACUUGUUGGCUUCAUUUUAGUUGUGGAACUAGACACUAGGUUUUGGUUGCUCUCAAUAGUUUCCAUGUUUCCUGCAAUUUCGAUAGUAUUCUUGACCUCUGAAUGUGAGUAUUGGUUGGUGGUUCACAUGCAAUCAGAAUUUGGUAAUCGUAUAACAGCCUCAUAUUUGUCUUUGAUUUCAAAUAAUUUCUUGAUUACUGAAUUGACUGUCGAUUAAUAACUCACAUGGUUUAAGCUUGAUUUCUGAGUUUGAGUGUUCAAUUGUGUUAACAACGUGAUAGCUGCAGUUUUCCAUGUUCUUCUUCAAAAUUUUAGUAUUGACUGGAUUUCUAAUUUGAUUUCUAUGGAUUGAUUGGCAUUUGUUCUUUAUUAAUAGCAUUAGGAUUGGUUAUAGUUGUUAAGACUAGAAGAAUUAGUUUUAGUAGUUGGCUUUGAUACCAAAUACGUAAUUUCAGGGUAAUGUAGGGUUUUUCCCACCUAAUUUUGAUAAUUCUAAGAUAAAUAGGGAUAAUAUAGAAUUUUAGUGUAGUAUUUGCAAUUUUCAGAAUAAAAUAGGGGCACUAUAGAGUUUUCAACCUGGCUUUGGUAAUAUUAGGAACAAAGUAAGGAUAGUAUAGGUAGUCUAUAAAGGGAAGACAUUGGUAGAAGCCUUUAGACCCUUCUAGAAGGGGUCUUUAAUAUAAAAUCAGUAGUCUUAUUGCAUUAACUUGGGAAACAAGUCAAAAAAUGAGGGUCAAAGCAGGUAAAAUCUGGAAAUGGAAAGAGGGAACUUUAGUUAAAAAAAAAUAAAAGUGGUGCUCAAGCCUUUGUCUAUAAAAGGGACUGAAAAUUAUUCAAAAAGAGAGGUUGGACACUUUGAAAAAUCACUGAAAAUUUCCAACCAUAGUCAAAAAUUACUUUUCCAAUUCUUGCAAUGAUAACAAAAAGAUCAAAAAAUACAAUAGUCUAGUUGGGGCAAUUAGAAGCUUUUCCCUCAAAUCUAGGCACUUUAGGAAUCCAAAAAUCUGUUGAAAAUCAGCAAAUACUGUUCCAUUGAAGGUCCAGCUAUUUUCAGAGUUUAUUUUGGUCUUUGUUUUGAGAUUUGCUUCACUUACUUGGUUUUAACUGUUUCCUAGAGUCCCUAGGUCAGACUGUAAGUCGUUUGGGGUCACUUGAAGUUUGUUGUGGUUCAAAUUUUGUCUUGAGUGCAAAGUUGGGCUGUUAGAUUGGUCUUAUUGCUGUGUGGUUGUUUGUUUUCAACUGCUGGGGUGCUUAAAAUUGCUGCUGACCUUCCUUCUUCUUAUUUAAAUUCAAUUUCCAUGUACACAUUCUAACUCUUCAAGAUGUAAAGGGGAUUCGACGAUGGAAUGAAAAGCAUAUUUUCCCAGUUCUUGUUCAUUAGAAUCCGUUAUUUUAGCAUGUUUUUUUUUUUGGGAUGUAUACUUGGAUAUUGAAUAUUAGAUUCGAACAAGGUAGAGUAGCUUGAUCAUGCCCUCAUAAUUUUUAGUCGGGAUGUUAGAAUCAUGUUGGUCGUAUAACGUAGCGGUGAUGGUAUGGAUUUAAAUUUGAGGGCCACUCAGAUCCAAUCUGGGAUCCAUAAUUCUUGCUACGUGGUCCAAUUCUGAUCGGUAAUAAAUACCGGGACUUUGCAAUAUUUGAUUGAUCACAAUUCUAAUAACUGGCUGUUUUGAUCCUUUGAACAACUCGAUGAAUUUAGUAGAUCGUUUUAGGAGGUCCUAAUGACUAUAGAUCGAACCUAUCCAAUUUUUACAGUACAAUGGUUGGCUGUUCACGGCCUAGCUGUACCUACCGUGUUUUUGGGAUCAAUAUCAACAAUGCAGUUCAUCCAACGAUAAACUUAAUCCGAAUUAUAGAGCUACGGCACAAUCAAACUCGAACGAACAAAAUGUUGAAUUGAAUCGUACCAGUCUCUACUGGGUGUUAUUACUCAUUUUUGUACUUGCUGUUUCAUUUUCCAAUUAUUUCUUCAAUUAUGAAAACGAAAGAGAAUCAAUAAGAUUCUCUUAGCUCAUUCGGAAGGAUCUCAUAAUUUAAUUAUCCAUGACUGUUUAUGUCUCUAGCAUGACCACUUGAUGAAAUCUGGAGGGAAGUGGGGUAAAUGGCCGAUACUACUAGAAGGAUUCCUCUUUGGAUAAUAGGUACUGUAGCUGGUAUUCUUGUAAUCGGUUUAAUAGGUAUUUUCUUUAUGGUUCAUAUUCCGGAUUGGGUUCUAUAUAAAAUGGUGGAUGUACAAAUCCACAACGGAUCCUGUCCUUCAAGUCGCACGUUGCUUUCUACACAUCGUUACAAACGAAGUUUUACCAUAACAUUCCUCUAAGAACCGGUAUG
This 62423-nucleotide long non-coding RNA is filed under the name Nicotiana benthamiana. RNAcentral's name for it is "long non-coding RNA (NBEN_LNC018057)". Lineage: Eukaryota; Viridiplantae; Streptophyta; Magnoliopsida; Solanales; Solanaceae. The record is from RNAcentral.